Molecule: long non-coding RNA, 56199 nt
Filed under: Marmota monax (woodchuck)
Lineage: Eukaryota; Metazoa; Chordata; Mammalia; Rodentia; Sciuridae
Source: RNAcentral
GAAUAUUUGAAUAUAACUGCUUGUGUUUCCCUAGAACGUUUCAGCAUGGCAUGGAUGAGUCUGCUUCAGAUUCCUUGAAAUCAAUUUUCAACCAACCAUUGCAUUGGGUUUCUUGCAUAUCACAUUUCUACCCUUCUUUACUCAGGUAAGAAACUGUAAAUGGCAUACUAUCUAUAAUUCUAUGAUUCCCUUUAAAAUUUAGUAGAAACUUGGAUUCACAGCUAUACAUAUAUCUUAUAAAACAAAUUUAUAAUUUUUCACAAUAGACAAGUAUGUAAAGAGUAUGAUUUUUUAGCUCAAGAAUCUAAGGCACAUAAUAAUUCCACUUGCUGCUUUAGUGAUAAAAUGGAAAACAGUGAAUUUUUGAAAUUUAGUUCUAUUUUAGCUAAUUGCCUAGCCAUUUAAAAAUUCAUCCUUCUUGAUCUAUGAUGGGGGGGAUUUGACAGUUCUUCAGUUAAUUAUCAGAUAUAGACAGGAAAAGUGGAUAAUCCAUGUAACUUAACUCAGAGCCUUAGAAGUGGAGAGAGGAGUAACUUUUAUAGUUAUGAAUAGGGUCUUUCACUAUUAUUAUUUAAUUAACAGCAUUUAAAAACAAGAAAAAUCAUUUAAAGUUUGAAAUGUUCUUCCAGAGUAAUCUGAUGACAUUUUGUGGCAUUAUAGAGAAUGGCAGUUUGAUUCUUUGUGGAAUAUGUCAUUGGAAAAUGCCUUUGCUUGGUAUCUGAGAAUAAAAAUAUCAUGCAUAGCUGAAGGAGAUGUUGUUAAUUUCCAUGCAUUCUUCAUUCAUCUUGGAAAUACAUUAUCGAUGAUUUUACUAUCUAAGUUGACUGGCUGUAUCUCUGUCUUUUAGGAAAUGAGAGUCUCUCCCCCAUAAAUAGAAAGUAUGGAAAGUUCAUUCACAAAGGUCUCCAUAGACACCACAAGAAUACACUGCUUGCUUGUAUGUGCCUGUCUUCAUAUAGCCAAUGGAGGAUCCAGGAUUAGUGAGACAUAGACCCUAGUUUCAAGGACCUCAGUGUAUUGCUUAUACAUAAAACUUUGUCAGCAUGUCUGAUUAAUUCCUUGUGAUUGAUUUCUAUGGAAUGCCCUCAAUACACUACCAACUCAAUACCUUGUCUUCUUGCAUGUAAAUAUACUUUUGUGUCCUUAGGAAUUAAAUAGCUAACUCCAUAGUACUCAUUACUGCAAAAAUAACAAAUUAAAAAAACUGGGUAUUUUAUAGUAUAAAUUAAGUAAACAAUCUGCAUCCUUUUGAUGAGUUCCUAAACUUCUAAACAUAUUUGUUCUCCACAUUACCAUCACAUUUUAUCUUUUUUAUCGCCUGCUUUUGUCUUAUAUCUGGAACCAGGGGUAUUCUCCCUCUUUGGGAGUAGCUCUCUCUGAUUUCCACCUCCAGACCUUGUCAGUUCAGCCAGCUAGAGGCCUGGGAAGGCAGCAGGAAAUUAGUUUAUUUUUCAAAUAGUUGAUUAUUAUAUUUAACUUCUUUCUCUUUUUCAUAAAUAAAGCCAAGUGUAAAUGAAACAAGAUGUUUCUUUCUGCUUUUACUUAGCAAACAAUCUCCACUAUUAUCCUGACAGAAAGAUUAGAACAUGGGGAUGACUUUUCAGCCCAUAGUGAAAACGAAGUUUGAUUCAAACUUUCUGGAGAGCAAUUUAGUAACAUGUAUCAAAAACUCUAGAAUAAUUUUGCCUCUUUAUUGAGCAAUUUCAUUUCUAGGAACCAAUUAUAAUGAAUUAACCAGAGAAUAUUGGCUAAGUUUUAUAUGUAAAUAUGUCCAAUCAAACAUUAUUUGUAAAUUUUAAAAAAUUUAAAUAAAUUUUCUGUAGUAUAUUGUUGGACAAAUGAGUUAUAGGGUAUACAUAAUGACAAAAUUAAUAUAUAUGUAAUAAAAGGGUUGGUUUUGAAAAAUAAUAACAUAGGGAAAUCAUUGUGAUUUAUAAUUAAGGAGGAAAUCAGAUUAUAAAUAUGAAAUCAUCCAAGUCAACCCAGUUUUUGAAAUGGUGUAUAACAAACAUGAUUUCAAGUGUUUUAUGUACUUUAUCUGUUUUAUCCCUCUGUGACAUUUUAUAGGAUAAGUACUUACGUGCUUUUUUUUUUAUGAAAAGAAAGGUUAUUUGCAGGUAACAACUUUCUGAAGAGAACAAAGCUGGGUUGUCCAGUCCCUAACUUAGCCCAUUCCAUUCUAAAGUUCCAGCACUUGACAAGUGCAUCUCCACCUUUCAAAGAGAAGACACUUCAAGGUGAUACCAAGAGAUGUGCAAGAAAAAUCACUCCCCCGCAGAAAUAAGAUUGUCAGUUACUCACUAAGUCUCUUUUUUACAGUAGAACAUUGCACAGCCCUUGACACACUAGUGUUUAUCUUAAAGUGGAGUUCCCAAACUUCCUAGAUGAGAUAAUCCUUCUUUUCCAGGGAAGGAGCAUUUACUGGAAGUAGGCACAAUUGAGAAGGUCUGACCUAUGCUAGACUAGCAUAUAUAGGACCUUACAAAAAUAUAUAAAAAACAAUAUUGAAAGAGCUUAUAGUACAGCAUCUAUAGCUGGCUAAUGGCUUGCAAGUAAUAUUAAUUUGCAUUUGUAUUUUCCAAAUUUCUUAGAAUGAGUACAAUAUAAUUUUAUUAAGUUAAAGAUAAGUUUUAAAGAAAGUAAAAGGAAAACUCAUUUUCUUUGAUUGUUCCUUUGUUCACAUGGCGUAGGCUACAACCUCUGUGUAGAUGACUUUACUUUUGCAUUUCUAGAUCUGUUUCUCCAACUUUAUGAUUAUGUCCAGCUGCCCAUAUUUCUUGAAUGGUCCACUGUACUAAUGGAAACCCAGCAUGAUGUCCUCCACUAUUUUUCCUUCCCCUCUUGCCUUGUUCUCCCUCCUUCUCUGUUAAGAGUGUGAUUGUUCUUAAAUGCUUCUAUGAUAAAAUCUCCUGAGCUUUUUCUUUGCCUAGUCCCAGUCUUCUAUCAUGUUCACUUGAUUCUCCCUCCAAAGUUCUCUUAGGACCACUCUUUGGCUCCAGCCUAUUUUAAUGAACUUAGUCCAUUUUACCAUUAUUUAAAAUGUCUAAAAUACUGUUUUCAUUAUGUCCCUUUCCUCCUUAGAAUCCUGGAGCAGCUUCUGUUUCACCCACACUUUUUCCUGCCUUCUUUCCUGGCACAAUCAACAACUUUUUCUGCUCCUGUUAAGUUGGUCUCCUCACAAAUCCUUAAGACUGUUUAUUAUUCCCUGAUCUUUAAUUUGUUGUUCAUUCUCAACUUUAGACCUUUAGGAAUGUAGUUUUCUCUCCUGCGAUAUCUUUGAUUCUUUCCUUGGCCUUUCUGAAUUCUUCAUGCAAGUCAUGAUAUGAGCACCCCCAUCCCUUACACCCAUCUGUGUCAUACUUUCUGAAAAUUAUUUUCUGUUAGGUCCAUAUAAUCUGUCUGGAAAGACAUGAUCCACAUGCUUUAUGAUGUGACAGAACAGCGAUAUAAUCAGAGGAACCUAGGGCAGCAAUGAAAGCAAUUUUAAAGUAAUUUAAAUUAUUUUAUAAUUUAAUACAUAGUUAAUAAUAUAUUUAAUAAUUUUAUUGAAUUUGUUAGACAUGGCGUUGGGAAUUCCUAGACCAUCAUCAUAUGACUUUCAAAAUCUGUACUUUUAAUCCAUUUCUCCUACCUAUAUCAGCUAUCGUUGUAUCUCUUUACCCCCAAAUUAUCUUUUAAAACUCCAUUCUUCCCCUUAGCAACUAAAAUGAACUGUUCAGGGACAUACAUGGGUUGGAUGAUGACAAACUAAAAAUACAUUAGCUUUAUCUUUUUUGAAAAGGGAAAGCUGAUAGGAGAGGUGAUUGGAAUAGCUAAUAUUAUGAAGGAUCUUAGUAAUUAAUUCCUCUAUUUGUUAAUAUCUAUUCAUUGUUUCAGAAAGGAUUUGAGUAAGCUUUCAAUAAUAUUAAAUAAAUUAGGAUAAUUAAUUAAAAGUAAGUAAGAAGGAAGAAAAAGAUAAAGAAAAAGGACAUGAAAUUAAGGGUUAAAAAUGUAUAAGUAUCUAUAUGGACCAUAACUUUGUCUAUAAGUUUACUAGUAAAAAUAUAAAGUAUAUGGAAAAAACAGAGUUUUUUAUGUUCCUCAUAAUCCUGGAAAUAGAAUAUAUAAGACUUGACUUUAGGGAAUAUAAGUGUAUUUUCAAAGCAUUAUAAAAUGCUACAUUCAUUGUCCCUAGCCGGGGGUAUAGACUGACAAUGUGAGUUUAUUUAGAUAGAGUAAUCAGUUUCAUACUAGAUUAAAGUAAGGCAUGUUGAGAAUAUAUCAAUCUCAAAGUUAAUACUAUGACACUAUUCUGUACUUUCAUAUAAAUAUUCAAGCAAGAAUACUGUCUUAGUCACUUAGAGUAUAUUAAAUUAUAAUGCUUUUUAUUAUUUUUCAAACUUUCAUCUUCAUGUGAUUCUUUAAAGAUUUGAAAUUUUUUUUUAGUUCUUUCUUUGCCAAGUAGGUAAUAACUUCACAUUGAAUCCAAGAAGCAUAAUCAGUGUGAGUAAACAGUAUUUAUUUCUUUUAUGAGGACAACAUGAUGUUUUAAAUCAUGGCCAGUCCAACCAUAGAUGUUUCUUUCAACUGUUUUGUUGUUGUUGUUGUUGUUGUUUUGUUUCUUUAAUGCUUUUACUUAAUGUAAUCCUGUUUGGAGGUCAUAUAGCUUUCUCCUUACUGAAUGUAUUAAGGUACCUUUGGCUCUAUUAAGUAUUAGGUUCACCAAAAUGUAUUUAUUCUUUUCUUUACUAAAUGCAAUUUACAAAAUUUCUCCAUGUAAGGCAUCAUGAUGGGUAUUAACAGUGAGGGAAGAGACAGAUUAUGAAGUUUAGGACAAAUCCCUUUUCUCAAAUUUUACAUAUUGAUGAAGAAUACAGCCUUAGUUACAUACUUGACAACAGUACACAAUUCCAUUGUCUGCUUCCUCCAUCUUGAGAUACUCUCCUGAUUUCCUCCUGAAAUAGUCUCUCAAUUUCCUUCUUCCAUUUUUCUUGCUGUUUCUCUUACUCCUUGUAGGUUCCUGUAUUUUAAUCUUGCCAUUAAAUAUUGACUAUCCUUAGUGUUCUAUCAUAUAACCUUUUAAAAGUGGUGUUAUCAUUCCUAUGGCUUCCUGGAUUUCCUGCGUGCCCUGUUCUAUUCAUAUCUCUAAUUUUAACCUCUACUAAGACUACAGACCUACGGGUGCCACUCAUACACAAAUACCUUCUGAGAUUUACACUUAGAGAGUGAAGUCACCAUGACCCAAACUGAACUUAGGUUAUUUCCCCUCCAAUCUGAUUCUCUUCUAUUCGUCCCUAUCUUAGCUAACAAUGUCCAUCCAAUUGUUCAACCAGAGACUUCAGAGGAAAUCUGGACAUCUCUUUUCUUCUCCUACAUAUCCAAUGAAUUACUAAGUCUCAUUAAUUUUAACUUCUAAUAACUACUAUCCAUAACAUCACUUUUGUCUUAAUCCAAACCAGCAUCAUCUCUCUCUAACUACGGCAAUUACCUACUAGCUUUCUUCCCACUGAUAUGUUGACCUUCAUUUCUAGUAUUCUCUAAACUGCAAUCAGAAGUUUCUCAAACCCAGAUCUAGUUUCAUAGCUCCAAUUUUAUCAUUUUAUAUUUUGCCUUAAAAUCCUCUCAUGAAUUCCCCUGUCUUUAAUAAGAUCUACAUAGAUGAGGGUCUUACGUUCCUCUCCAAAUGCUUCUUUUAUCCACUGCCCUGGAAACUGUUAUCCACACUUUAGUAUUUUUACAUUUUCUUCCCAUGCUACUCCUUUCUGCCACAGGAUCAUUGCACAUAUUUUUUUCCAUUUCCUUAAAUGUCUUCCUUCUUCAUCUAGUUAAUGACAACUUCUUUUUGUAUCUCAGCUUACAUGUUGCUUCUCCAGUGAAGCUGAUUCCAGAGACUACUUCACCUCUUUUUGCUACAUCUUUUAAGAACAUCUUUUGCUUUUCCUUCUUUGAAUUUUCAUAAUUAUAAUUUUGUAUGAGCAUGUGCACUAUAUGUUUAUCCCCAACUAAAUUUCAUAAGAAUAGGUACUGUUUUUUGUUUAAUGGUUUGUCUUCAUGGUUGAGCACAUAGAAGUCAUCCAGUAAAUAUUAUUUAAAUGAAUGAAUAAAUGAAUGAAUGAUGAAUGAAUGAAUGAAUGAAUCAGAUGGGUGUCAUGUUAACAAGUAUAAACGUUUGAUCUGAGUGGUAAAGCUCAGGCAUGGGAGGUACAAUUUUGAUGAGAAAGUGACUGCUAGUAUACUAGGGAGAGAACAUCUAGAGAGGAGGACAAAGUUUGUCUGCCAACUGGUGCUGACAAGCUACUGCACAGAACUGAAGGAAGAGAUGAGAGAGCCUUUACUCUGAUGAAGUGCCAAGUGUUAUGAAGAGCCAGUGGCCAGGGAAAAGUAACAAUAGCUUUCUAACACCAAGGCUCGCAAGUGGCUGUUCCACAAGUGUGGAUGAACAGCUAGAUCUUAGAAGAUAUUUUCAAGGGGAAAGGCAGUGUCUGUGGACCAUCAUUAAGAGAAAAUUGGCAACUUAUUCAGGUACUUCAUAUACCUAGAUAUCUGAACAUUUAUAUUUUCUUUUUCUAUUGUGAUUUAAAGGUAUUAUAUAAAUAAUAGAAAUGGAGUUAGCAAUGCAAUAAUAAAAAUAAGUGUUCCCAUUGGACAGAUGUGACUUACAUAGUUGUUAAUUUUAUGAUCUUGCAAAGUGAAUUACACUAUGUGGGUUUCAGUUUUAGUUUAAAUUUUGGUGAGGAAGUUGAAACAUAAAUGCAAUACAAUCUUUAUUGACCUACUUGCAAGUAGCAUGCAAUACCGUUGUCUUCUUCCUCCAUCUUGAAGCAUGUUCUUCUGAGAGGGUCAUGAGAAUUAAAUGAGUUAAAGAGCCUCUGAGGCACUUAUCAUAUAAGUACUUACUAAACAAUCCUUCAUGACUGCUGGGUUAAUAAAGAGUUGUGUGUUUCACAAAGUGGAAGAUUUUAUCAAUUAUCUAAGCAUGUUGAAAGGAAUUACUACAAGUGUGAUAAAAUGGAAAGAAUAUUGAGCUGCUUUCUCCCUGGCUCUCUGUACUUAUCAGAAGUGUGAUGCUUGGGAGACCUUUUUUGAAUUCCCUAUAACAGGAUAUUAUCUGGUGGACAGAGACUGAUAAUAGUCAACAGCUCCAGAAGAUAACCUCUGCUUCUCAAGAGGGAAGGCUGGGUGAUCCAGUGCCUUAGUGACUCAGUGCUAGAUUGGGACAUUGGAGAGAGCCCCAAACUGGAAGCUGAAAUGUUUUAUUAUUUUUAAAAUUAAAAUUAGAUGAUAUAUAUUUUUAGAAAUAGAAUAUGCUAACUAGUGUAACAUCAAAGUAUGGCUCUGUGAAUUUUAAAUACUAUCUUUGGGGGAUAUUUUAGAAAAUAGGAUCAUCCCAAGAAAAAGAUUGGUUUGCUAAAAAUCAGGAAAUCAGCAUAAGUCUUCUUGGGUUGAACAACUACCUUUUACAUUGUACACCACAUAAGUAUAGAUAUAGCCAACAUUGAAGAAAUGAGAAUGUUGACUACAUUAGUGACCAAAGCUAUUUUAAAAAUUAAGGCAAAAAAAAAAAAAACCCUCGUGUGUGUGUGUGUGUGUGUGUGUGUGUGUGUCUCCUAAUAUAUAUACAUCCUACCUCAUAUACAUACAUAUAUGUAUAUGUAUAUAGAUAUAUUCUACUUAAUUUCUACUUAUAAUAAUUAAAUAUUAUAGAGACUUGGCUGUACUCAAUAUAGAGAUUAAAAUAUAUGCAAAUAUUUUCAAUGCUAAAACUACAUAUCAUUUUCACACUUGUGGUUAAAGUGAUAAAGAAAAUAUUUUGAGUUUUUUCCCUCAACUUUUCUAUCAGGUACUAAAAUUAUCUUCUUAGAAAAAAGAUGACAAAUUGCUUAUUUUUUUUCUUAGAAUGAUUUUGAAGGAUAAGUUAUGGGAGAUCAAGAGAGUGCCAUAAUAUGAGAAGUUCUCCACUUUUGUUUUUCCCUGUUAAGGCUUUUACCCUCAGUUUCUUUUUUGUUAUGCCAUUACCUUUGUCCUUUGAGUCAUGUAAUUUAUAGUCUCUGAUAUAAAUUUGUCUUAGUAAUCCAUGACAAGAAUCAUCUGGUUGAGAUCAGUAACAUAGCUCUAAUUUGGGAAUCAGCUCUGAAAUCAUAAACUUGAUUUUGGUCAAAAACACAGUAUCUUCUAUCAGGAGGUUCAAAAGAGCCAAACUUCCUCAGAAAAUGCAACUUAUUCACCAAAUAUCCUUCAGGUUGAAUAGGGGAAAAAAUAGAGUAAUGGAAAGAACAUGGGUUUUGUAUUUGUGUUUUUAAUAUUUUUAUAGUUGUAGAGGGACAGCAUGCCUUUAUUUAAUUACUUUAUUUAUUUUGUGUGGUGCUGAGGAUUGAAACCAGUGCCUCACACAAGCUAAGCAAGCACUCUGCCACUGAGCUACACCCCUAGCCUGAACAUAGAUUCUGAAGUCAGAGACACCUGGGUUCACAGUCCACCAGCUACAUUUAUUAGCUAAAUGGCCUUGGACUAAUAUCUUAAGAUUCCUGAAACAAGGAUUAGGUUGAAAUGAACACUAAGUACUUUUGUGCAUUUCCAAGUUAGAAUUUUUUCAAGAUAUAUACCCUGUGACAAAGAUUCAAGUGAAUAUAGUUUAUUUUCUAUGUGACGACACUUUAAGGGGAAUGAAUAAGUGAAGAAAAGAAAGAUUUGUAUAAUCAAACCAGCUAUCAAAGGAAUGACUGGAACUUGAAGCAUCUGGGGAAUUCUGAGAACCAGUAUGAAAUAUGCAGUUCAGAGUUAUCCUACCAAAGGAACAAGGAUGUUGAGGUAUUGAUGUACCAGCUCCCAUUGGUCAUUGAUUGAGGGCACUAACAGCCUGUCUUGCUGGAAAGAAACAUAGACUGAAAGCAUCUUUGCUCCUUUGUUCAGGCCAGUGUGAUCUGUGAGGUAAGGGCAAAAGGAUGUACGGUCAUGGACAUCUGCUGUGGUCCCCCCUUGCACUACUGAGAUCUACUUCUUUCUCGUGUUCUCAGAGGCCUAUUAUUGAUUCUUCAAGGUGGCUUUCUUUCUUUCUAAGAAAAAUUUAAUUAGGAAAGAGUUGGUAGGACAAGGUAGAGUACUCUCUGUGGCAGUUAUUUCUGAGUCUGAAAUAAUAUUCAUCAUUAUAUUCUUCUACAACUCUCCCAUCUUCCCUUCACUAUUGACCAUCAUAUCUGCUGACUUAUGCUGCUUGCCCAGGGCAGUCAUUAUGAUCGUCAUCCUCCAGGGGGUGAACUCAUUAGUUUCCAUUCUUUUGGAAUAGAAUGGCAGUUAUUGCUUUCUCCUACAUAUGGUCAUUAACAAACCUGAGAGCAUCAAGAGAUGCCCUGAGGAAUCCCUUCAGUUACAGAUACUUCUCCCUGCUUGUCUUAUGCAGCAACAACCCUAGCUCUUCAUGAUAACUAGGUUUAAUAGCCCUUGCCAAUAGAGUGAUUUCUUUCUUUGCCUGAUAGACUUCUGACAGGAGGAACCAAAGAUAACUUCAUGGCAACUAUGAUUUUAGGUUUAGUGGAAUCCUAAAUGGUCUUCUGUUAGAGGUGUAUAUACCCUACCCCACCAUGGAAACCAGGGCCUCCACUUGCACAGAGCUUCUGGCGAUUAGGGGAAUAAAGACCAAAUUUCAAGAGAAUCAUCAAGAGCUUUAGUAAGAGGGGUCCUUACUACUUUCACCCCUUGGUUCCCAGACCUCUAUAGUUUAUCUUUUGAAGCCAACAAUUUGUUAGUUCAAAGUAAAUGUCAAAUCUAGAAGAAUAGUGCUCCACCACCACUGUAUAUUAUCCCACAUUGUGCUUUUAGAAGUACAUUCUAAUGUUUUGCUAAUCUUGUAACUUCUUUGUGAUACAUAUACGGUAGGAUAAAUGAAUCCCAUGGUCAUAAAGCUUGAGCAGUAAAACUGCUCACAGUUCAAACCUGCUUCAGAGCCUUCUUUCAGGCUGGGCUUUAACAGUCAAGCUGAAAGUUAGGACUGUAUGUGCUGAUAUAGAAGAGACUUUUUAAAAAAAAGUUUUCUAUUUCAGUAUAAACACAAACCAAAAUUUUUUAAAAUUAUAAACAAACUACUUGAUUAAUUUAUAUAAAUAUACCCGAAUACAGCUAACAUUUUUACAAUAAUUUGUUAUUUUCAUAAACCAGUGAUGGUUGAACUCCAUUACUAUAGGUAGUUGAAAAAAAAUUUAGGCCAAUCCAAGCCCCAGAAAUAUAGCAAUUUUUAGAGUAUAAUCUUAACUCAUUAAGUCCCAAGUUUUCAAUUCUGUGAAUAUUUUAAUGAAAUUGAAAUAGGUGCAUUAAAAAAGAUUGGAAAUCAUAAUCUACAGCUUAUUAUAUGAUUUAGUAUCAUUAAUACUGUUAAUGAUACCAUUAAUAAUGUUAAUAUUAUCAUAAUCAUUUAUCUAUUACUUUUCUCAAAAGAUCAGAAUUCUAAAAACAUAAAUAUUUAUUUCAGAGUUACUAUAAAUGGUGCAAUUUAAGUUUUUUAGGUCUUCUGUAAGUGGAAUGAUGGGACAUAAUGGGUUAAUUCAACAUAGUCAUAAAUUUGUUUUGUCCUUCAAUAUGAGAUAUAUGAGUUCUGUUGAACUAAUACAGUUUUGUUCUCUUCUUUGUAUCAUAAUGGAAUUCAACAUGUACAUAUUUGAUACAUACAUAUAUACAUAUAUCUAAAAUUUCCCUGUCAUUUUUUUAAGGCUAAUUUCACUUUCACAGAUCCACCAGCUCAAAGGAUGAGGGAACAUAUGCUUCUCCAUAUGCCCCAAACAGACUCCUCAAUGCAUUUUAUUACUCAGAGCUUGGUGAUUUAUGAAUGUUUGUACUAUUUUAUUUUUCCUCAUAGUGAGUCAUUCUACUGUACAUUUCAAAAUUGUGAUAAGUUGAAAGAUCCAAGAACUGAGGUAUGUUUCAACAAACAGCUUUCCAUCUGGUAAAUGAGAGAUUUUAUUUAUAACCAGGUAUGCAGUUACAGUGGAAAGAAAUGACAUUCAAACUAUUUUGUUUUGUUAUAUGACUGAGUAAAAACACUAACCACCUCCAUCCCUUCUCCAUACUGCAAACAGAUCAGGAAAUUUGUCUACCUUAAACUCUUCAGUAGAUUCAAAAUCCCCACCUUGGUAUAUGAGGAGGACCUCCAUGAUCCAGUUCCAGCCUCCUUCUUCAAACUGUUUCUCCAAAAUCCUCUUCUCUUCACUCCAGCCAAACUGGGGUUUUUCAGUUCUAUCCUUAAGUCAGCUCUCAAUUUGAGCACAACAUAUUGAUAGGAAACAUUAAAAAACAAAGUUGAUUUAAAUACAUAACUUACUACCAACAGUUUUUCCUCCACUAUCCCUCAGCGGAGCUUCUCUAAGUCAGCAUUUAUGGUUUAUGAUGGAAGUCAGGAAGAGUAUUGUAUCUCUUGGUACCACAUUUGGAACUUCUCCAAACACCAGAACUCUCUGGGACAGUUAAUCAGAACUCCUGGGAUGCUCAGAACUAGUGGACUUGAUUCCUCCAGCCUGAGGGUUAAGUAACUUCCCUCUUCUCUCUUCACUACCCAGCCAGGGCAGGACUUUCCCUAGCUAACACAGCCUACCAAGUGCCUGAGCAGUUUGCCCGCUUCCAGUUAUGUUAUCAGAGCUUCAUAUAGAAUCUGAGUCUGUCCAAAUUUUAAGCACAGGCUGAAAAAUUUUGUGGGUCAUAAGGUAUGAAUUGUUCCAAAUGCAAAGCCAAGCAAAGGAAGAGGUACUUUCAAACUUCUCCAUUUUAUAUCCUCAAAUUCUCUUGAUUUUGUUUAAUUCAUACUUUUAGCAAAGCAUUAUUUUUUUUCUUAAAACUUUGCCUACUCAUUUAGGAGCAGACAAGUCAAUCAGCUAAUGUUUAUAGAGAGUUUAAAUAUGCUGAGUUUGGGAGCUUUAAGGUAUAUAAAAUGAAUAUCUUCAGAGACUUGAAUAUGGAUAGUGAAAUAAAGUUUUGAAGAAAUAAUCAAGUGCUAAAAUAUGUAUGCUUGUCAUAAGUGUUUUAAUUCAGAGUGAGACCACUGUGAAGAGAAAAUUUUAGUCAAGACUUCUCAGGGGAAAAAAGUGGGAAUUUUUGUUGUUGUUGUUGUUGUUGUUGCAAAUUCAAGAUUGGGUAAGAUUAAGAUAAAGAUUCAGGGUCAUAGAAAAUUCAUUGAGUGAAUGGUGUCUUAGCUCAGGCCGUUAUAAAAAACAGACCAUAUUUCUGAUAACUUAAGCAAGAGACAUUUAUUUCUCAUAGUUAUAAAGCCUGUAAGUUCAACAUUAGGUUAUCAGCACGGUCACAUUCUGGUGAGGACCUUCUUUCAACAGCCAACUUCUGAUAUCUUCAUGGUAGAAAAGGGCAAGGAAGUUCUUUGGCCUCUUCUAUAGCGAUAUUAAUCUCGUUCAUGAAGAUUCUACCCUCAUGAACCAAUUAUAUCCAAGAAUCUCAUCUCAAGAUGUCAUCUUAUUGGGGUUGGGGUUUGAAUUUGGGGACAACAUAAACACUCAGUCCAUUGCAAGUAGCAGCCAAGGCUGACCUGCAUGGGCACAAAGACCUGGAGACAGCAGAUGAUGCUAACUCAUUCUAUUUCUACUACCUGUGUCCCCAAAUGCACUGCCUACUACAAUGGUUCCUAAACUUUAACAUGUAUCUGCUUCUCUUAGGGAGAGCUUAUUAAAAUAGAUUUUGCGGACCUACCUCCCAAAUUUCUAGUGGAAUAAGGCUUGAGAAUUUGCAUUUUAAACAAGUCCUCAGGUGACCCUAAUGCUUCUGGUCUGGGGCCCAAGCUUAGAAAACCAGAAGUCUUGACUGUGUUGAUAACUGGAUGGCUCACCACUCAGUCAACAGCAUCCCCUAAUGUUAAUACCACAAAUUGUCUCUCUUAGUUAUACCUUUUCAGUCUGGAGCAUCCAGUCCUCUCAUUCACAAUUCUGCAUUCCUCAAACACACUUUUCCUUCCAAAUGGCACACUGUUCUCAUAAUCAAUGUGGCCCAACUAGAGUGUUUGACUAUUGCCUGCUUUGUGGUGGUUGUUGUUGCAAGUUAAUUUCCCAUGUUGUGACCUUCAUAUGAUCUAAAUUUUGAAAUAUUUUAAGAUAAAAGUGAAUUGUAUUGUCAGUUUCCAAUUUCUACUUUACUUUCUGAUCUCCUGUCAAUACAUUGAUGGGGAUGUGAGGGACCUGUUUUCAAUUUUCUAUUCAACACUGAUGAUAAUUUUGCAAAAAGAAGCUUAUUUACCUUAGAAGUAUUUCUCUUUGAUGAAAUUAUUAUCCAAGUAGAUAGUACUGUUACUAUUAGUAGCAGUUCUGCUGAUUGCAUGUUGAUUUAAGAUUUUACAUAUUACAUAAUUAUAUUAUGGUUGACACUUGAUAGAUGCUUUGAUUCCUUUAGUUUCAUCAGUCAUCAUAGCACAUAGUACAUCACAAUGUAGCAAAAUCCCACUGGAACUUCUUUCCGUGAAUAACAAAAGGAGUUAAUUAAUAGCACAUAGUAGGCAUUCAUUGUGUAUUUGUUGAGUGAAUGAAUUAAUGCAUUUAGAAUAAGCGCAUAAAUAAUUUCUUCUCUCCAUGAAACAAAAAUAGACAUGGUUCUGUGAAAUGUAGGCAUGGUUAUUUUGUAUCAGUUUGAAAUUUGGCAAGCUACCAAAUGUUAAUUUGCUUUUAGCUAGUUGAGAUUAAAUGUAAUUCCUUCCCUGAGCAACCCGAAAGUAAGUAAGCAUGAAAGCAUUUUCAGACUAAUCUGGGAGGAAUUGACAUUUAAAGGAGUUAGCAUUACAUCUGUACUUUAAGGCUAUUAAUUUCAUAGAUAAAUUAACUUCAUUACUCCAUCUUUAUCUUGCAUUUUGAAAGGACUCCAUCAGCUGGAGGACUGAAAGCGGAGGGUCAAUUGAAACUGCUCUUAUCCCAGCCAGGUUGUAACUGGAACCUGCUUCUGGAAACCCUACUGAGUAAUGACGGUCUUUUACCAAGAAUCUUGUUGCAGAGCUCAAGUGAGUAUUUGUAGUUACAAGAAUGUCCUCAAAAACCCACUCAUUGCUUGAAUGAAACUUUUUUCCCUACUGAAAUUUUGGCAGAAGAAUGUGAACCAACUGCAUAUAUCGACAGGGAUUAGCAGCAGGCAAACUAUUGAAUUGAUUUACCAAUCUAUAUAAGAAUUAUUUUUUUCAGGGACUCUGAAUGAGGGGAAACAAUAUUUUUAUAUGACACUCUUCUAUCACAACUACCAUUAUAUAGAAGUACUUCAAUAAUCAGGGAUUGAGAUGCCUAAGGAUAUUGGAAGAACACUGUUAUAUUUUUUAAAGCACAUGCCUGAAUUAGAUAAUAAAUAAAGAGAUAAAGAGGGAUUUCAUUAAAGCAAUACUGGAAAUUUUAGUGUAUCUUAAAGUGUGCUUAUGCAAUUUAUGAAUAAGCAAGCUAUGGCUUACUGCCAUAUCCAUUGGCACAUGGAGAAAUCAAUAAUUUCUCCAAUGGAAAUUGAGGUGUAAUAAAAGACUACACUUAACUAGAUUUCCUUUUUUCCCUAUAGAUGCUAUUUUAGAAAAUGGCAAGUAAUGUUGUGCCAGUAUUAUAUUCCAUUGUGCUUCCUCUCAUAUAUGAAGUCUUCUAACCAUGUUCACAUACCCUGUGCAUUUCUCCUAUUCUGUACCACAUGUAAAUCCAGAUUAGUCUUAUGAAUAACUAGUUUCACUAGAGGUUUCCUUAAUCAAAAUCUUUUUUUCUCUUAUUCCUCAUCACCGGAAGGAUUGAAUCCAGAUCCUGAAGCCAUUGAAAUAUGAGCCCAGACUAUUUUCCUAGCCUUUUCUUCCAGUUCUCCCUUUCACGCACUACCCACCCACUCAGCCCUUUUCCAGUCAUUGUUGCUGAAGCCCCAUGCAUGUAUUUCCUCAUCACCUGUGCUCACCUGUUUUUCCCACUUAAAAUCUGUUCCUCAGGAAACUUGGUCUCUGCCAUUUUUCAAGGGCCAGAAUACUCUCCUCAUGCUGAUUUCUUUUGUGUUCCAGGUCUCUGAAUAUUCUCCUCAUGCUGAUUUCUUUCUCCCUUGAACUUCACAGCAUCCCCAACCUUGUCUAGUUCAUCUGUCCUUAGCAUUCUCUGCCUGCUAUUGCUAUAUUUGUGUAUGAAUGAGGCAAACAUCUCCAGGUCAUCCUCUUGGUAUGAAACUGAGCUUCACAGCAAUCCCCUGUCCAAAUUGCUCUAGUCAUUUCCGGUAAUCUUUGACUUCUCAUAUCUGCUCAGGACCAGUUCCCCAAAUGCUUCUCACCCAUCCACCUUCACAUCCAGUUUCUCAAAAGUCAUUUGGGAGAGGCACCUCUUGUGAGAAUACUGCUUCUUCCCUGGUGCUUUCAAAACCAUAAAACCAUGUGGUGCCAUAGUUCACCAGAACUCCCCAGGCCUCACUGUGCUGAAGCAGAGGUGCAGAGGUUAUUUCUCUUCCAAAUACUGAAUUUUAUUUUUUCCUUUAGUCCUGAAGCAAUAUUGUUUGGGCCUCAAAUAUUUAAAAUAAAUAAAUAUUUUAAAAGGAAAAAAGUGAAAGUUUCACCUGAAAGUACUUUUCUUAGCUUCAAGUUGCAACUCCAGUCUCCUAAGGGGAAAGUGGCACUAGGAAAAAUUCUUUCUCAAAUAAUAGCAUUUUAUGUACAUAUUUGGUGAUAGGCAGGGUGUGGGCCCUUUACAUUGUCAUCUAAUUUGAUCUUAUAAGCCUAUAAAAUUUAUACUAUUGUUAUCUUCAUGUUAAAAAUAAGAACAUCGAAGUUUUAGUUGAGCACGGAGGUACACACCUGUAAUCUCAGCGGCUCAUGAGGCUGAGGCAGGAGUACUGCAAGUUCAAAGCCAGCCUCAGCAACUUAGUGAAGCCCUAAGCAAUUUAGUGAGACUCUACCUCAAAAUAAAAUAUUAAAAGGUCUGGGGAUGUGACUCAGUGGUUAAGCAGCCCUGGGUUCAAUUUCUGGUACAAAAAAAAAAAAAAAACAAAGAACAUUGGAGUUUAGAAUAAAUAAAAUUGGCCUUCUGUAUCUAUAGGUUCCAUAUCCGUAGAUUCAACAAUCACAAAGUAUUCAGAAAAAAAAAAGUUUUAUGUGUACUGAACAUGUACAGACUUUUUUCUUGUCCCUUAAACAAUAAAGACUAACAACUAUUUAUAUACAUUUACAUUGUACUAGGCAUUAUAAGUAAUCUAGUGAUGAUUUAAAGUAUAUGGGAGGAUAUGCAUAGGUUAAAUGCAAAUACUGUACUGUUUUACAUCAGGAACUGGAGCAUCUGAAGAUUUUAUCCUCUGAGCUUUCAGGAAAAGUGGCUGCAUGACAUGGAUAGUAUCUUACAUGACUGAGACAGUUCCUCUGAUACAGUCAUUGAAACUCACAGGCAUAAUCCUUUAAGAGAAAUGGUCUUCUUUAUAACAGAGUUAUCUAGAACAGACAGGAAAAUCAAUUGAGAUCAAACCUUUUCACUGUAUUGAUACAGCCACUAAGGAUGAAAAAUUACAAAUAUUUAACUAUGUUUUCUUACAAAUGAAUCCCAUAUUUACUUGUCAAAUAUGUAAUAUCUGCCUUCUGGUAUGUUUACUAUGAUGCAGUUUUGAACAGAGUUAUAGUUAUCAAAGGUACCAUAUUGUACACCUUCAGUUGUGCUUCUUUUGAAUUACAAUACUAUAUUUACUUAACCUAGUCAAAUACCCAUCACUUUUUACAAAGGCUAUUAGGUUACAUGGGUGAUGUGACAUUGAAUUUCACUAGCUACUUCAAAUAACAUGAAGAUGAAGUGACAGAAUUUACUAAUCAAUUUAUUGACCAACGUGUUAAGUUCCAAUAAUAUUCCUGUCACUUUAAGUUAGAAACAAGCUACCCAUGGAAUCUUAUUAACUAUAAUAAGAUAGAAAUUAUUAUGUACAUUAAAAUUAAUUAAUUUCUAGUAUUUUUUUGCAAGAAUUUUCUUUUCAUUUGAUUAAAAGUCUCAGAAUUUCAGAACUCUGUUUGGUAACUUAGAAGUUUAGUCAUUUUUAGGAAAGUAAAAUUUUGGAGUAAAAUACUCUGAAUUAAGUAUUUUAAGCAAACAUAAUCACCAGGUUCUUAUGAGGAAGUUUUUCUUAUAAAUAAUGCUUUUUUGGUCUAACUGAUAAAAUUUAGCUUUGCAUUAAAUUGCCUCAGGAAUUAAGAGUACAGAGAUAGUAAGUACAUGUUUUUAUUAUACAUAUUUUAAAACAAUUCUCUUUAUUUGAUGGUCAAUUAUUGAAUCCCAUUAGGUAUAGAUUUUUUCUUGAUAAAUAACCAUAUAAUGUAAGAUUAAAACUAUUGCAUAAUGAGAGUGAUGUCUUUGGCUUUUGCUUUUGUUCUGUGAAAAUGAUUUAUCAGAAUUUCUUUUUUUUUAAUCAGCUGAAUAUGUAGGGAAAUGACCACCCUCCCUGGGAAUUAGAAAAUAGCAAAAUUAAACAAAUAAAUGGUAAAAUUUCAAUUUGUAAUAUAUGCAUCAUAGACUGCAAGCUUCAAAGAAGUAGAAUCAUGUUUUUGCUAUGGGUAAUAAUUUCUCUCGUACUAAAAUAGUUAGCAUUUUGAGGCAAUGAUUACAUUGUUAAAACUUGAUAAAAAUGAAACAAUUUCAAUGGAGGUGGUUUAAAAUAACACUCUUUUGGUUCAGUUUGGAUAGCAUGAUACAGUGAUGUUUGUUGUUUUUACAUUAACUAUCUUGAAUCCAAGUGGGGAAAACUCUGAAAUACAAAUGUUUAUAGAGGAUUUUUAAAUUAUAAGGCCUUAUUUUGGAUUAAUGACUAAAAAUAUCCAGGUGUGAUGGCACAGCCUGCAAUCCCACCAACUCAGGAAGCUGAGGGAGGAGGAUCACAAGUUUGAGGCCAGCCUUAGCAACUUCAUGAAACUCUGUCUCAAAAUAAAAACUGUUGGGAUGUUCGGUGGGGCUGUUGUUCAGUGAUCCUGAGCACUAGAGAUACAGGGGGAACCAUUUUGUUAAUUACCUUGCUGAGGCCACAUGGCCUUAUAGAUUUCUUACAUGUGGCAUCAAAGGAAUUAAUAUGUGGCAAUUUCCCAGUUUUUAGCAGGUGACCUUUUCUGCUAGUGAUAUUUGAAGGAAGUAUUAAUAACAUGCUUUCCUUUGCCUAUUGGCCGAAAAAUGAUUCACAGUGAAACUUCUUGGCUUUCUGUUGAUAUUCAGGUAUAAUAUAACAACUACAAAUUAGCAAAUACAUAGUACUUAAUAUGUUGCAGACAAUGUUUUUAAAUGCUUUAAAUGUGUUUACUCACUGAAGCCUCCUACAACCUCUGGGUAGUAAGUACAUUUAUCUCCAUUAACAGAUGAGUAAAGUGAGACAUGGUGAAAUCCAAGUUACAAACCUAGUAAAUGGCAAAGCAGGAUUGCACCCAGCCAGAUUGCUUCCCAAAGCUAUGUUUCCAGUCUAUACCACAUGGCCUCCAACAGAAUUGCAGAAUAUUUACCAAAUAGCAGUGUUGCAAAAUCCAUGGAAUCAAUCAGGAACCUCAUCAAUGGAUAAUUUUGAUAGAGUGUUUUGUAUUUUUUAACCUGUCACAAAGUGCCUAAAGAUAAUCAAGAAACAAAUACAAAGAAAUUUUUAGCUAAUGGACUAUUACUAUUACCAACCCAUGGUUGACUUAAAAUGAAUGAAUUAAUCAAAUUCUCUUAUCGUCAUGUUUUCUUGAUCUUUUAGGUAAUAUGAGACAUAUUAUGGCAGAAGCUUGGUGUUUUGUUGUACAUGGUGAUGGUGGUGUGUGUAUGUGUAUACCAUUUUAUAGGCAUGACCAAAGUGCCAUUUUAUUACCAUCUUAAAGGAGGUGACCUGAAGUGAGAAUAUACUCCUACUUGGUAUUCAUAGCUCACCUAAAACUGAUAGUAUGUCAUAGUCUACUUUAACCAGUAACAACAUCUGCACUAGAGGACUCUGCUUUGUUCACUAAUUUCUUUUUCAAUAGAUUUGUUCUUCAUUCUUACCAGAAAUAGUAGAAUCAUAUUUGCAUGUUUUUACAUAUUCCUUUUCAACCAAAAAUUCUGCUUAAGAAUGAUGAUGAAUUUACUAAUCCAGAAACAUCUGUGAGCUGUAUUGGGUUUUUCUAGACCAGAAACAACCAGUGUUGGAGCUGCUGUGGAUGGUGGCAGGACAGGAUUAUAUCAAACAAAACUUCUUGUAAAGUGCAAUAUAGCCACAUGUUACCUGAGGAUCUGGUUAAAAGGGUAGAUUCUAAUUUAGUAGGUCAUGGGUGGGGCUUGAGGUUAUGCAUUUUCAACAAGCUCCCAGGUGAUGCUGUUCCUGUUCCUGUGAACCCUGGGCAACUUUUUGAGUAGCAAUGAUCUCAAACAAGGUAUCUGUUGCUAUAGAAGCAAAAGACUGUGAUUGUGAUUUGUCCUUACAAUAUAAUAAGAAGACAUGAUUUGCUUAAGGAUAUUUAUAAACCAUUUUAUCUGGAAGUUCACAGCAGCAGUCAGCAAGCAUGGUCUUAUUCAAAUACAGAUCUGAUUAUGUCACUUCCCUGCUAAAAACCAUUAGUGGCUGCCCAUUACUUGUAGGAUAAAGACCCUGAUUCUUGAGACACCUAUAAAGCCCUGUAUCCUCUAGUUGUGGCCAGCAUAUCCAGCUCAUCUCAUUCACUCUCCUUCAGUUUAACAUGCUCCAACACAGGACCAUGCCUAUUUGGGUCUAAAUUUGCAUAUUUGUAACAGCAAUCUCCCUGCAGAAGUGUCCUGAAGAAAGAGACAAUUGCUACAAUACCUAACAAUAUUUUCAUUGUUCCAUACUCCACGUUUCCUUCUUGCUACAGAGUCUUUGAAAAAAAAAAUUCUACCUAGAACCUUCCUCCUUUCCAUUUGCCUGACAACUCUGAAUCACCUUAUCCUCUUUCCAUCCUCCUGUCCCUCCCUUUCUUUUUCCUCUCAGCCCAUACUUCCUUGGAAAUUAUCCCUGAUUGUCUUGACUGAGUGAAGACCCGUGUACUUCUUAUUGUCACAGUUAUAAGUGAAAGGUUAAUUGACAUAAUGGUGUAUUUAAUUUGUGUCUCAGCCACAGUGAGUUCCAGAAAAGUGGGGACAGCUUACUAUUGUAUCCUGUAUGCUUUGCCUUGUUCAUAGUACUUCAGACUGAUAACUAGCACACAGAACAUACCUUAAAAGUAUUUGUUGAAUGAAUGAAGGUCAAUUAAAUCUCCAUAACAAUUCUGUUUCAUUCAUUAGCUUUGUGAUCUCUCUAAACUUCAGUUUCCUCAUUUCUAAAUGGGUCAUUAAUAUUGAUGUUAUAUAUUUGUUUUGCGAUUUAAAAGGGAAAGUAAACAUAAAGCACUUAAACAUUGCUUGGCACUUCAUACUUAAUUUGUGUUAGAUUGUUUUCAUUAAUUAGUGCUGAAUGCCUGCAAAAAUAUGCCUGAUUCUCUUCUUCCUCCUCCUUCUCUUUUUCUGAUCAUCCUGUCCUAUUUAUGCAAUGAAUUAUCUCUUCUGCCUCUCAGUAACUCCCUCCUAAGCAUUCACCUAAGCAUGAAUGUAUGUCUCCUAGGUGUUGAAGUUUCCCAUUUUGGACAUUUUUGUGCCUGGGAAGGUGUUGCCCUAGUAUCUGCCAUGCAUAUAAAGAUGAGAAGUGGGCCAAAUAAAUAUCUCAAUUUUUAUACAUUUAGUACUCUUUAAGAACACUCUCAUAUAGCUUGGGAGAUUAGCAGUGUGAAUUUUGCUAAUAUGUUUUACCUACACAUAAUCACUUCUCAUCUGGCUUGGCAGUGGCUGAAAUAUUUUACAUUCUUUCUCUUUAUGGUACUUAGAAAUGUCUAACGUAACUGUAAGAACAUUUGUCCUCGUUAGUAGCUAAUGUGUGUCUAGUAUUAGUAUAUAAAGUGAUUGGGCAUUAUAUUCUCAGUGAUACUAUUAUCAUGAAUUGUUGCAUUUUUCCCCAAGCAACUCAAAGUAAUUUAACACAUUAUUUCAUUUAUGACCCUUGGAUUAUUAGGAUCAUUUUACAAAUGAGAAAACUAAGAUAAAAAAAAUUGAGUAAAUCACUACUUGAUGUUUUAAGUGGUCCUUGUUAGAAGAAGAGCCAUUAUUUUCUGAAAGUAUUGUUUUUAAAUGAAUUCAAAAAUGAAAACAUGAGGCUUUGUGGAGGUGAUUCUUUUAGAAAUAAGAAAUAAUAUUCUUCUGAGUCAAUUUCUGAAAAUGGUUUCUCAAUUUUAUAACUAAGUUCUUCAUUUAACUAAUAUUUAGUGGGUCAAGUAAAAUCUACAGAGCUUGGAGUUAACUUAAGACUCCAUUUGCAAACAUUAGAGCAUGAUUUCUACAUUUGUUUUUAUACAAAAUCAAUCCCACUAGACACAAUUCUAAAAAAAAAAAAAGAGUCAAAAACAGUAUACACUAAACUCAUUUUUUGGAGAGUCACAGGGCUUAUGAAUAAUUAAAUAUUACAAAAUAUGUAAAUAAUACAAACUAAUUUUAACAAAUGGAAUUACCUGUAUGUCUUAUACAGUUUACCAUUUUUAAAGAAAUUGGAUAAAUUGACCAGUUAUAAACCUCUUAUGAAUCUGUAGCUAUUUCCUUAAUAAAUACUUUUUCACUUUAUAAAUUGUUAAACUCUUUAUGUGUCAUUUUCAUUUGUUAAAAAAUAAAUGGAGAUAACACAAACCUCAUGUAGGAUAAUGAUAAAUGAGAAAAUGUAUGUAAAAUACUUUGCAUAAUACUUGUGCCAUUGUGAAUAUUCACUAGGGAUUGUGGGUAUUCAAAAGAAGUAGAAAUCUGAUUCAGUAUUCAGAGAAGAAGGAGGAGCAAGAGGAAGAGGAGGAGGAAUAGGGGAGGGGGAGAAGAAAGAGGGAGGGGGAGGAAGAAGAGGAGGACCAAAGGAAGAAAUUUUAAGUGUUGAACUGUAAUUCAUAUGUAAGCAUUUGGGGCAAGAAAAUGAUCCCAGUAAACAACUUGGGAGAUAGGAAUGAAUGAAAAGAACGAUUCUUUUUUCUUCAUAUGUUUAAGACCACUUCAUGAAAUUUUUUUUCUUUAUUUUUAUAUUUAUUAUUAUUAUUAUUAUUUGUAUACGUGUGGUACUGUGGAUUGGACCCAAGGCCUCCCACAUGCCAAGCAGGCACUCUACCACUGAGCUAUAUCCCCUGCCCCAGAGACCUCCUUUUUAAAUUUUCAAAUUUUGCCAAAUACAAGACUAGUUUGAGGGGAAAAAAAUCUAAUAAUCAUUACAUUAACAAAUGAAAGUUUCAAAUAAUGGCAAGUUUUUAUACUUACUGUUAACCUUUUAUACAACAAAGUACCAUAUUAAACUAAUUUUGAAAUUAGAUAUCAAUUUUAUUUUUGUUAAUUUUCAUUUCAAACUAGGUUGUGACAUUCAAAUUUAAUGUUUCCUUGAAAGUAUUUUUAUGUGAUACUCUACCCCUUUUAUCUAGGGGUUAAUUUAUUAGCCUGGGUUUUUGUUUUUGUUUGUUUGUUUUAAGUCCUUGUUUUAUAUGCUACACUUUCUAUUCUUGCACUUUAUAAUGCCUUUGUUGAAAGUAAGUCUUUCAGCCUCUUCUCUUUGGUUUAGAGAUGCUUUUAGUGUCUGGUUAAUUCAGCAUACCGAGCUCAUGUGCUGCCACACCAUUGCUGCAAAACUCAACUUAAUGACUCAGCAGGAGCUUGUCAUUAACAACAUUCUUGUAGAAAGUAAAAAUUAAGCAACCUUGGAAAGCAAAGCAUUAUUGUGCCAUGUAGGUGUUACUCUUUGUUAGCAAUACAGUCUCCUGGUUGAGUUCCUUGCUUUAUACCACCUUCUUUUGAAGUACUAACAAGUUCAGAUUGCAAAAGGAGUUUAAAAAGGCAGUGAAAAAGGGUCCUUCAGUGUUAUUGAAAAGAUGAUCUAUUUUUAAAUCACAUAUUUGUUUCUAUAAUGUGUAAAACAUUCAUAAAGGAGUAGGCAGAUGAAAUUUAAAGUAGAAGCUUUUCUACUGUUAUUAGAACUUGUAAAACCUGGGCCAGGGAAUAUGGCUUUGAAUAUGUGGCUUGCUGACAAUGCUCUCCAGAAUUCAGUGGAUCCCCUUCCCUCUGAUCUCCCAGCUCCGCACUUACCACUCCCCAAACCACUAGAUCUUCAUGGUGAAAACCUCAGGACUUCCUAAUCUUGGCAAAGCCAGAUUCAGUAGAAGGGAGAUGAGGCCAGAAUGCAAGCCCCUGAGGUCCAGACUUCAAAAGGAGAAAAGAUAGCUAGGCUUAGCCAACCAGGCCCAGAACUUUCCCCCAAACUAACCACUCAGACAAGUCACUUCUUCUUUAGCAUGGAUAUGGUGGGGAGGGGCCAGCAGGGUGGCUAUAGUACUCAGUAAGAGAAUACAGAGCGGAUCCAAGAUGGCAGGCUAGAGGGAGGCUGCAUUCUGUGUCACAUCAUGACCUGGGAUUCAAGUAGUGGGAAUACUGUUUCUCUGCAAGUUAUUAGAGGACCCCCAGCAGCAUUCUUGUUCUCCUGUACAAGAAUCUCAGCUGCCAUGCCUGCGCAGGUCUCCAGGCCUCAGUGUAUGUGAAGGACUCCAGGCAAUUUGCCCACAAAGGUCCUCUGGGUACCUGAGCACUCACAGGAAUCCUGGCAUCACUCCCAUGCAGAACACCCAGCCUCUGCUCACACACAGAACCUCCAUCCACCACACCUGUGUGGACUCCAAUCUACCAAUGUGGGGCUUCCCCUGUCACCUCCAUCUUGGGACACAGCAACCACUUCCAUAGUCCUUUACAUGUGGUACCCUACACCUGGGGACACCAUACAGGGUGUGGAGACAGCUGCCAGCCACAACACUGCACACUAAGAGCUGCAUCUCUGAAAAUACUGCCCAAUGCCAUCACCCAGCCUCACCCAACCCCAUGACUGAAAGCAGCCACCUGUAUCUUGGGACACCUUUGUUGCCAUCUUUAGUUGAGGCAACUCCUCACUUGGGACACCUGCUGGGGCUUAGAAGCAAAAUCAAGGAGAGGUAUUGGAAUCCUGCAGGGAAACUAUAAGCCUAUAGGGUAAAAACUCUAAUGCCUCGGAGCAACAGUACUAGAAGGAAAGACACAUGAACAAUGUGAAAAAACAAAGGAAGAAAGUACCCCAAACAAACCACGAUACUACAUUAUUAGAAUCCAUGGGCAGCACAACAGAAGAAAUUACAGAGAAGAAGUUAACCACACGGUGAAGAUGCUAAGAAACCAUGAGCAGAAAAUUAAAAAAUUAUGGAAUAACAUAUAAAGAUCAAAAUUAAGAAUUAUUGGGAUAGAGGAAGGCAUAGAGUUCCAAACCAAAGGAAUGAACACUCUAUUCAAUGAAAUAUCAGAAAAAUUUCCAAACAUGAAGAAUGAAUUGGAAAAUGAAAUACAAGAGGCUUACAGGACACCAAAUGUACAAAAUCACAACAGAUCCACACCAAGGCACAUUAUAAUGAAAAUGCCUAGCAUACAGAAUAAGGAGAGAAUUUAAAAGCCACAAGAGAAAGGAAUCAGAUUACAUAUAGGAGGAAAACAAUUAGGAUCAUUGCAGAUUUUUCAACCCAGACCCUGAAAGCCAGAAGAUUCUGGAACAAAAUAUACCAAGCUCUGAAAGAAAAUGGAGGCCAACCAAGAAUCUUAUAUCUAGCAAAAUUAAACUUUAGAUUUGACGAUGAAAUAAAAACCUUCCACAAUAAAUAAAACUUAAAAAGAAUUUACAACUAGAAAGACUGAACUACACAACAUCCUUGGCAAAAUAUUUCAUGAGGAAGAAAUGAAAAACAAUGAAAAUCAGCAAAGCAAGGUAUUACAAUAAAGGAAAAACCAAUCAAAUGAGAAAGCAAGUCAAGUUAAAUACCAAAUAUAAACAAAAAUUACUAGGAAUUCAAAUCAUGUCUCAAUAAUAACCCUGAAUGUUGAUGGCCUAAACUAACCAAUCAAAAGACAUAGACUGACAGAUUGAAUUUUAAAAAAAGACCCAACAAUAUGCUGCCUUCAAGAAACUUAUCUCAUAGUUUCACCACAGACUGAAGAUGAAAGUUUCGGAAAAACAUACCAAUCACAUGGUCUAUGGAAACAAGCAGGGGUUUCCAUCCUCAUAUCAAAUAAGAUAGACUUCAAGCCAAAGUCAAUCAAAAGGGAUAAAGAAGGACAUUUCAUACUGCUUAAGGGAACCAUACACCAACAAGACAUAACAAUUAUAAAUAUAUAUAUGUCCCAAACAAUGGAGCAUCUACAUUCAUCAAAUAAACUCUUCUCAAGUUCAAGAGUCAAUAGACCACAACACAAUAAUUCUGGAUGACUUUAACCACACUUUUUUUUUAAUCACUGGAUAGAUCUUUUAAACAAAAGCUAAACAAAGAAAUUAUAGAAAUCAAUAAUACAACAAAUAACUUAGACUUAACAGAUAUAUAUAUAUAUAUAUAUAUAUAUAUAUAUAUAUAUAUAAUAUGUCAUCCACCAACAAGUGAAUAUACUUUCUUCUCAGCAGCACAUGGAUCCUUCUCUAAAAUAGACCAUAUGCUACAAAGCAACUCUUAGCAAAUACAAGAAGUAGAGAUACUACCCUGCAUUCCAUCAGAUCAUAAUGGAAUGAAAUUAGAAAUCAAUGCUAAAAUAAAAAAUAGAAGCUACUCCAACACCUGGAGACUAAACAAUAUGCUGUUGAAUGAACAAUGGGUUACAAAAGACAUCAAAGAAGAGAUUUAAAAAAUUCUUAGAAGUAAAUGAGAAAUCUGAUACAACAUUUCAAAAUCACUAGGACACAAUGAAGGCAGUACUAAGAGGAAGGUUCAUUCCUUAAAAGAAGAAAAAGUCAACAAAUAAAUGACCUAACAUUACAUCUCAAAGCCCUAGAAAAAGAAUAAAUCAACAUCAAAAGCAAUAGAAGUCAGGCAAUAAUUAAAAUCAGAGCUGAAAUGAAACAAAAGAGACAACUGAUAAAAUUGACAAAACAAAAAUUGAUUCUUUGAAGAAAUAAAUAAAAUUGAUAAACCCUUAGCCAUGCUAAAGAAGAGAAGGAGCAAUAAAAAUCAAAUUACUAACAUCUGUGAUGAAAAUGGAAAUAUCACUAUGGAGUCUAUAGAAAUACAGAAGAUAAUUAGAAAUUAUUUUGAAAAUUUGUACUCCAAUAAAAUAGAAAACAUCGAAGUCAUCAACAAAUUUCUCGAGUCAUAUGAUUUGCAGAAACUGAAUAUGAUAUACACAAGUUAAACAGAUAAAUUUCAAGCCAUAAAAUAGAAGAUGCCAUCACAAGCCUACCAACCAAAAAAAGUCCAGGACCAGAUGGAAUGCAUAUACAGCUGAGUUCUAUAAGACCUUUAAAGAAGAACUAAUACCAAUACUCCUCAAAUUAUUUCAUGAAAUACAGAGAAAACUUCCAAACUCAUUUCAUGAGGCCAAUAUCACCCUGAUUCCAAAGCCUGACAAAAACACAUCAAAGAAAGAAAAAUUCAGACCAAUAUUUCUAAUGAAUAUAGAUGCAAAAUUCUCAAUGAAAUUCUGGCAAAUCAAAUACAAAAACAUAUUUAAAAGAUAGUGCCCCACUGUCAAGUGGGGUUCAUCCUAGGGAUGCAAGGUUGGUUCAACAUGUGGAAAGAAAUAAAUAAAUGUAAUUCAUCACAUCAGUAUACUUAAAGGUAAGAAUCAUAUGAUUAUCUCAAUAGAUGCAGAAAAAGCAUUUGACAAAAUGUAGCACCCCUUCAUGUUCAAAACACUAGAAAAACUAGGGAUAACAGGAACAUAUCUCAACAUUAUAAAAGCUAUCUAUGCUAAUCCCCAGGCCAUCAUUAUUCUAAAUGGAGAAAAAUUGAAAGCAUUCCCUCUAAAAACUGGAACAAGAUAGGGAUGCCUUCUUUUACCAAUUCUAUUUAACUUAGUUCUUGAAACUCUAGUCAGAGCAAUUAGACAAAAGAAAUUAAAGGGAUACAGAUAGGAAAAGAGAAACUCAAACUAUCACUAUUUGCUGAUGACAUGAUUCUAUACCUAGAGGAUCCAAAACAUUCCACCAGAAAAUUUCUAGAAUGAAUAAAUAAAUUUGGCAAGGUAACAGGAUAUAAAAUCAACACUCAUAAAUCAAAGGCCUUUCUGCACAUCAUUGAGAAAUCCUCUGAACAAGAAACUAGGAAGACUACCCCAUUUAUAAUAGCCUCAAAAAAAUGAAAUACCUGGGAAUCAACUUAAGAAAGGAGGUGAAAGACCUCUACAAUGAAAACUACAGAACACUAAAGAAAGAAAUUAAAGAAGACCUUGGAAGAUGGAUAGGCAGAAUUAAUAUUAUCAAAAUGACCAUACUACCAAAAAGACUAUACAGAUUUAAUGCAAUUCCAAUCAAAAUUCAAUGACAUUCCUCACAGAAAUAGAAAAAGCAGUCAUAAAAUUCAUCUGGAAAAGUAAGAGACUCAGAUUAGCUAAGGCAAUCCUUAGCAAGAAGUCUGAAGCAAGUGGCAUCACUAUACCAGAACUUAAACUAUUCUACAGAGUAAUAGCAACAAAAACAGCAUGAUAUUGGCCCCCAAACAGACUUAUAGAACAAUGAUACAGAAUAGAGGACACAGAGACAAACCCAUAUAAAUAGUUAUUUCAUAUUAGAUAAAGGCACCAAAAACAUAUUGGAGAAAAGAUAGCCUCUUCAACAAAUGGUUCUGGGAAAACUGGAAGUCCAUAUGUAGCAAAAUGAAAUUAACCUCUAUCUCUCAACAUGCACAAAACUCAAAGUGGAUCAAGGACCUAGGAAUUAGAUCAGAGAUCCUGUGCCUAAUAGAAGAAAAAGUAGGCCCAAAUCUUCAUCAUGUUGCAUAGGCCCUGACUUCCUUAACAAGACUUUUAUAGCAAAUAAAAUUAAGAAUCAAUAAAUGGGAUGGAUUCAAACUAAAAAGCUUCUUCUCAACAAAAGAAAUAAUCAGUGUGGUGAAGAGAGAGUCUCUUGAACGGGAGCAAUUUUUUACCACACACAUAUCAGAUAGAGCACUAAUCUCUAGGAUAUAUAAAGAAUUCAAAAAUCUUAACAUCAGAAAAACAAAUAACCCAAUCAAUAAAUGGGCCAAGGAACUGGACACUUCUUAGAAAAAGAUAUACAGACAAUCAAUAAAUAUAUGAAAAAAUGUUUAACAUCUCUAGCAAUUAGAGAAAUGUAAAUCAAAACCACUCUAAGAUUUUAUCUCACUUCAGUCAGAAAGGCAGCUAUUAAGAAUACAAACAACAAUUAGUGUUGGUGAGGAUAUGGGGAAAAGGCACACUCAUACAUUGCUAGUGGGACCGCAAAUUGUUGCAGUCAAUGUGGAAAGCAGUAUGGAGAAUCCUUGGAAAACUGGGAAUGGAACCACCAUUUUACCCAGCUAUCCCACUCCUUGAUCUAUACCCAAAGGACUUAAAAAUAGGAUACUACAAUGAUGCAGCCACAUCAAUGUUUAUAGCAGCACAAUUCACAAUAGCUAAAUUAUGGAUCCAACCUAGAUACCCUUCAGUAGAUGAGUGGAUGAAGAAAAUGUGGUAUAUAAACACAAUGAAAUAUUACUCAGCAUUAAAAGAGAAUAAAAUUAUGGCAUUUGCAGGUAAAUGUAUGGAGUUGGAGAAUACAAUGCUAAGUGAAGUUAGCCAAUCCCAAAAAAACAAAUGUCAAACGUUUUCUCUGAUAAGUGGAUACUGAUCCAUAAUGGGGAUGGGCAGGGGCCCAGGUGGAGCUUAGGAGAAAUGGAGGAACUUUAGGUAGAACAAAGGGGAGGGAGAGGAUGGGAGAGGGCAUGGGGUUAGGAAAGCCUGUGGAAUGAGAUGGACAUCAUUACCUUAAGCUAUGUAUGAAGACACAAAUGGUGUGACUCUACUUUGUGUACAACCAGAGAUAUGAAAACUUGUGCUCUAUAUGUGUACUAUGAAUUGAAAUGAAUUCUACUGUCAUGUAUAACAAGUUAAAAUAGAUAAAUAAAUUUAAAAACAAUUUUUAAAGAGAGUACAGCCCAGUUCAGAUGUGGAUUAAUGGGACAAUAUGUCUUAGGCAAAAUUAUUGAUUGAAAGAGGCAAAGUGGAUAACACCUGUUGAAAUCAUGGGUGCUUUAGGUAAAUCUAGAGCUAAAUAUCUCUUUUACCACUGAAGAGCUCAUCAGGAGGAUUUUUUUUUAAUAUUUAUUUUAUUUUUUUAAUUUUUAUUAUUGGUUUUUCAAAACAUUACAUAGUUCUUGACAUCAUAUUUCACACAUUUGAUUCAAAUGGGUUAUGAACUCCCAUUUUUACCCCGUAUACAGAUUGCAGAAUCACAUCGGUUACACAUCCACUGUUUUACAUAUUGCCAUACUAGUGUCUGAUGUGUUCUGCUGCCUUUCCUAUCCUCUACUAUCCCCCCUCCCCUCCCUUCCCCUCCCCUCCCCAUCUACUAUAAUUCAUUUCUCCCCCUUGUUUAAUAUUUAUUUUUUUAGUUUUUGGUGGACACAACAUCUUUAUUUUAUUUUUAUGUGGUGCUGAGGAUCGAACCCAGCGCCCCACGCAUACCAGGCGAGCGCGCUACCGCUUGAGCCACAUCCCCAGCCCCAGCCACAUCCCCAGCCCCUCAUCAGGAGGAUUUUAUAUCAGAAAAAAAACAAUGUCUAUCCCAGAAGGCAGAGGGAAAGAAAAAAGAAAAGGCUAGACCUGCGUUUGAAGCAAAAUGAUAGGGACUAAUGGGAAGAAAAGGUAUUAUGUUUCCUCACCCAUUCCAAGGUUCAUGGCUCUGGCACCUAAAAUAAAUGGAAGAUUGACAAAGCUAAAAUAUUUAUUUAAUGUUAAUUUUACAUUCCAUGUGAGCCUUCGAAAGUAAAGAUCCAAAGAGAUUGGGAAAGCUUUAUAUUUUUAUGCUUAAGUUCUAUGAAAAGCCAACUGUUGUGUAGAAGUAUGAUUAGACAAAUGUAUGAGCUAAUGGCAGUAAGCUAGCAGGACCUUAGUAUAGGCCUGUGUGUUCAAGUUAUUCUUUGUGUCUCCAUGUCUUCAGAGACAAGGACCUUCCUCCUGGCAUAGGGAGAGUAGUUCUGGAAUGAUGGUUUUAUUACAUACUUUAGAGGAAAAAGAGAAUUCUUAUACAGCCUGCUUCUGCCAAGAUGCAGUCCUUUGGGGUGAUAUGUCCUGAAUAUCAUGAGAACCAACAUAAGAUGCAAGUUAAAAUAAUAAAACUGAGACUGAGUCGCAUUUAAUAGAAUAGGAAAUAUCCAAAUGAAGGACAGCACAAAAAUAUUCCAACAACAUAAGAUAUUCAAAGGUAAGGAAAAAUCACAUUUGUGGAUGAGCACCUGGCAAAAGUCUUGGUUUUCACCAGUUUUCAGCGACAGAGACCUGAAGAAAGUGUGUAGAACCUGCUGAGGGUCACUCACCAUCCUGGCCUUAUUAGAUGAUGAGUGAGGCUCAAAGUGGAAAUUUGGAAUAUUGUAACUAAGAGUAGAUAGUAGGCCAGAAUGUGUAAGGCAUAUGAUUAUGGUGAACUUUAAAAGGCUACCAGGGGAGGCUAGAUUUAAUGUGUAUUCUGGGUAGUGUUUUCAUUAAAACAAGAAGUAAGAAAACCUAAACUAUAUUAAUAAUGUUGGAAACAGAGAAGGGACACUAUGGAAGUAAGUGAACAUUUGAUUUCUUAUAUAGAAAGAGAUGAGACCAGGGACAUAUUUAUUUUUUUUAUAUCUAACAAUCUAGAGAAGAAUUAAUUCCUGCUAAGGCAUUGAGCUUGGACAUGAAUAGGAGAUGGCAAUGUCCUAGACAGAAUUAGGGAAUUCAGCAAGGAUAAGAAAGAGCAAGAUGAGAGCCAUAGAUGGAUGAUUUGCACAAAAAGAACCUUUAAAGUCAAAGGAUGGCAGGAUGACUAAUCCAGAUGUAAAUAUUUAACUUUUGAUUUUUUGGAACUGGCUCAUUUCACUUAGCAUAAUAGUCUUUAGAUCCAUCCAUUUACUUGGAAAUAUCAUAAAGUCAUUCUUCUUUUUGGUUUAGUAAUCCUGUUGUGUGUAUAUGUAUCAUAAUUUCUUUAUCCAUUCAUCUGUUGAAGGGCACCUAGGUUGGUUCCAUAGCUUAUCUAUUAUGAAUUGUUUUAAACAUUGAUGUGGCUUUGUCACUGUAGUAUGCUGAUUUAAAAUUCUUUGGAUAUAUACUGAGAAGUAGGAUAGCUAGGUAAAAUGGUAGUUCCAUUCCUAGUUUUCUGAGGAAUCUUCAUACUGCUUUUCAGAGUGGUUGUACCAGUUUGCAGGCCCAUCAGCAAUGUAUGAGUAUACCUUUUUUCCCACAUCCUUGUCAACAUUUAUUGUUACUUGUACUCUUGAUAAUUACAGUUCUGACUGGAGUGAGAUUAACUUUCAGUAUAGUUUUGAUUUGCAUUUAUGUAAUUGCUAGAGAUAUUGAACAUUUUUUUCAUUUAUUUUUUUACUAUAUUUCUUCUGUGAAGCAUCUGUUCAGUUCCUUUGUCCAUAUAUUGAUUGGAUUAUUAUUUUUUUGGUGCUAUGCUUUUUGAGUUCUUUAUAUAACUUAUAUAUAAAUUAGUGCUCUAUCUGAAUUACAGAUGGCAAUUAUUUUCUCCCAUUCUGUAGACUCUCUCUUCAUGCUUCUGAUUGUGUCCUUUGCUGUGAAGAAUUUUAGUUUGAUGCCAUCCCAUUUAUUGAUUUUUUUUCAUUUUAUUUCUUAUGAUUUAGGGGUCUUAUUAAGAAAGACAGUUUCUAAGCUGAUAUGUUGGAGUGUUGGGCCUAAAUUUUCUUCUAGUAUAUGCAGGAUUCCUGGCCUGAUUUCUAGAUCUUUGAUCCAUUUUGAAUUGAGUUUUGCCCCACCCAUUUUCAUAAAUACUGUUUCCUUCCAAUGUUGUCUUGACCCUAUGCCUACACAUUGUGCAUGACUACUUUUGUGUUGUAAGAACAGAAAACAAAAGGCUCCCAAAAUGUAAACUAUUUACUGUCUGGCUCUUUAUAGCAAAACUUUGCCAAGUCUCAUUCUAUACCAUAAGAGAGGAAGAGCUUACCGAAAAAGGAAUGCCAGAAAGGUACCCUGAAACCAACAGGGCAUGGCCAUAAGGAAGUCAAGAAAGAAGUGGUCUCAAAAGAGCAGUGGAAAGGGAUCCAGAAAAUAUGCACAGGGUGAAGCUCCAUGAAGAAGAGCUCUCUGAAUGUUAUGAUUAGGAGGCAGUUAGGUAUCAUUCUUGGUGAACCAAAGCACCCCCCAAAAUGCCUUAGAGAUCUAACUCCCAUCUUUUUUUUUCCUUCUUUAGUAUUGAAAUAUUAGUUAAAUACAUAUCACUAUGCCAGGAGCUAUUGGGAGAUACCUAAAUUCAAUCACACAUAAAAAUUUAGAUUAUAAAAAGUCAUAAAAUAGUGCUAGAGAUAUAAUGAAAUAAUGAGAAAAUGUAAAAUACUACAUGAAAUUAUUUUUUCAUAAGGCAAUAUGUUACCACAUACAAAAUACCUGGCUUGGAGUAAUGGCAGUGCAUUCAAAGGUCACUGUCAAUAAAAUGUCAAUGCAUGCUUUGAGAAAUUUGGGAUUCUAGUGUAAUAGAAAUAGUACAGGCAAACUCCUAAUAUCUUUGUGACCUUGGGACAAUUUACUUAAUUUGUUUCAAUUUUACUUUGUUCAUCUAGGAUUACUUUGUUCAUCUAGGAUAAUUGGCACCCAUUCCAUAGAGUAUUCUGAAGAUGAAAGGAGAUGUAAACAGUUUAUGUGAUGUUUGGCAUACAUUAAGUACUUUGUGAAUAGUAAUUUCAUUUUUAUGGAGCUGGUAUAAAUCUGAAUUCAUAAAUUCAGAUGCACACGAAUGAAUUACUUAUUGUCUUUAAGGCAACUUUCUGAGGAUUGUCAGCCCAUCCCACUUGGCAUUUCACCCUAGAUGAUGUUGGCGCUCAAUCCUUCUUACACCCAAGGUGACACACAGGGCCCAGGGAAGUUCUAUCCAUCAUCAGUUGCCUGGACAUCUAGUUUCUCAGAGAGACAUUUUAUCCCUCUCCAUCUGGUUCCUCUGCAUGCAGAAAUGUGUUUGAAACCUUUUGUGAGGUCAAGAGCCCAUGUCAGCGACCUGGCUUCCCUUACGCCUCACCCAGGCAAGCCUCCCUAAGCACUACCAGCAAGAGCACACAGGCGCUCUUUCUUGCAGACCCAGAAGUUUCUUUCUCGUUUCAGAACUCUUCUCACUGAGCAAUCCAAACUCACCCCUGCUCUCCUGCCAGGAAACAUAUGAAUUCACUGGGAAUCACAUAGUAGUGACAACAUUUUUCCUUUUAUGGUCUACAAGAAUGACUAUUUUAUUAGUUCAAGCUAAACAUUCUUCAAUAGAUUUAGCUUUUCUCCUUCUUUCAUUUUUAAGUCCAAGAAGGUAAAUGACUUCAGUCUCUCUGUACUUUUCAAAUAACAGAAAUCCCUGGGUAAAGUAAAUAGAAAUAGAUUAGUUUAGGGCAAAGGAAAAUAGGAGAAAACAAAAUUCAUUGAAGUAUGUCCACACAUUUUCACAAUAGUAGAAGUAAUAAUAAUAUUUGUUAUUUUUGGUGUAACCAUUGCUCCUUUCCACCCCUCUUUCCACGUAUGUGUUGUCAUACGUGCUCCAUUGAUUGACUAGCUUCAGUUCCCUCUCCCUCCCAGCAGUCUCACUUCCACACCCCCAGCAGAUGCCUGUGGGCUUCUUAUUACACCACCUCUUCUGUCUUUCCCCACCUCAACUUUGUCAUGCUGAUAAACUCUAUUGCUCCUUAACGAUUUGGCUGAGAGAGAUCUUGUUGUUCUGCCCCGCAAAAUGUAAAACAUUAUUCUCUGUGUUUCCCCAUUGCUUUAUAUUUAAGGCGCUUAGAAUUAGGAGAUAGAUGAAUUUGUCAUUCAAACAGAUAGUUUUUAAGAGUGAAGGAGGAUGCUAGUAGUAUUUAUGCCAGGACAACAAGACAUAAGACAGAUUGCCCAGGCAAACCAGGAUGGAAAGUUACUUUACUUAUCUUUACAUUGCUAUAAUUAUUGUUUACUUGUCUAUCAUCCCAUCCCCAAGUAAAUAACAAUACAUAGGUGCACAGUCAGUGAAUUACAGGCAAGUGAAGUUCUCAGCACCUGAUCCAAUAACUGACAUAUAGUAAACAAUCAGUCAGUUCAUCAAUUUAUGGAAUCAUAGUGGUUUUAUUGGAGGACCACAUUCUAGUAUGACAAAAUAGCAUAGGCCAAAGAAAAGGAUACAGAAGGGCACAUUUGAAAGAAAUAGCAAAUAAACCCUGUGGUAGGACAGAUAUUUGGGAUUUGGAACAUAAUUUGGGAAGAUGUUGUAGAAAUUGUGAAUCAUCAUGCCAAGGAAUUUUUUUUGCAAGUGGAGUCAUAGGGGAAGGUUUAAACACAGGAAUAACAUAAAGGAUAGUGGAUCAUUGUACUUAACAUGAAUUAGAGAGAGGGGAAAGUAGAGAGAACUUCAGAGAGUAUUUGAAUAAAAAAACAUGAAAUAAUGGGUGCCUGAGUUAGAAAUAUUUUCCAUUUAACAUUUUUGCUUGUUUUAAAAAGAAAAAAAUCAAGACCUUUCAAAAUUCAAUUACAGAAAUCCAAAUUAGCCUAUCUAACUAAAAGGGAAAUCGAUCAUCUCAGCUAACAUGAAUCUAUAAGCAGCGCUGAAUCCAGGUUCUGUGUCAUCACAUGAGGAAUCUUCAUAUCUUGAUUCUGCUUCUUACUGAAUGAGAGUCAUUCUCAGUCAAGUUCUUCUUGAAAUAGCAAUCAUCAAUUUCCAACCUGCUAGGCAAAUCUGUUAGAAAAAGAACAUAGUUUCACCAAUUAUUCCACCAAAAACCCUGAGGAAGUUUGUCACAUUGGUUACCUGCCCAUCCCGGAAUUGAUCACUGUUAAUGGGAGAUGUCAGGCUCUGAUUGCUCAGGUCUUGUCAUGUGCCCACCUUUGGUAAUGGCAACAAAGUAAACCAUGUUAAGUUAAGGAUAGGGCAAGGGAUGUGGGUAGGGGCUUGAAUAACUAGAUAAAGAAAAAACUUGUUUGAAACGAAUAUUAGAAAGUAAACCCAAUAAAGGCUCUCUGCAUAAAGUCUAUGGUUCUAUUUUUUACUUUUCAAACGAUAGUGAGCUCCUCUAGAUUAUUAAAAUCAAAUCCCAGAAAUAAAAUUGAGAGGAAACAUAAAAUUUAUUAGCUUCCAAAUGAGCCAAAAUAAAGAAAUGUACUCACUCCAAAAGACUUUAGAUUACAUUUAUACAAGAUAUAAGCUGACAUUAUCAUUAUUCAAUAAGUAUUUUUGCUCAUUAUGAUGCUGCUUAUCCAAACAAAAUAGAAAUUGUUAUUUCAACUUUCCAUCCAUCCCCUAGAUGCAAUAGUACAGAAAUUUCUGAUUACUGAUCUUUGAGGAAGCCAUAAUGGAGCAAGAAGAGAGUUGAAAAAAGCAAUUAAUUGAACAGCCAACAAUAAAAAAUUUAAAAAAAAAAGAUAAAGUAUAGAAAUAAAAUAGAAAAAAAAAAUAAAAAAGCAAUUAAAAUGGCACCAUUUUUAAAUUGCAUUCUGUUGUUACAUAUGACUAAUUAGAAUAAUUUUUUUAAAUGGCCCCAUUUUCGCAGAGUUCCAUAUGUGGUUUUAUUGAAGAGCCAAUCGAAAAACUUCUCCAUUUUGAAAUGACAGGGUCAAUGGGUUUGGUAAACAUUCAUUGGGUUAGCUGGACCAUUGAUUUGAAAGAAUGUGGUAUUUCUGUUAUGCAAAUAUUAACAAAUACAAUUCAUAGCAUUAUGCUGGACUGAUAAGAAUUUAAUCACGUUCACUGAUGCCUACCUUACUACAUUGUUUUUAUUCUUUUCUAGCACGUACCUUUCAAGACCAAGUUUCUGAUACAGAAAAUAAUCUGAACCAAGGAUUUAGCUUGUCAGAAGCCAUCUUUAAAGUGCUGUACCACUGCAAUUUUUCUCCAAAAACUUUUGGAAAUGUUUUUGUGAACUACAUGGAAGAAGAACAAUUAUGGGACUUUUUAAAUUACAUCCCAGGUAUGAGAAAUUUACUAUUUAUAAAAGAAGUACUUUAUAGAUACUUAAAAUGCCUUUAAAGAUAUUUUUAAAUUUUAUUAAUUUGGUUUUGCUGUUUUUGUUUGUAAAAGUUUACCUUACAUUUUUUUUCCAGCAUAAAGGCCUCUAUUGGAAAACCAUUAAGCCAUUAGUUCCUGUCAAAUUUAAUAUAUUUGAAGAUAAAAAGAGGUUGGUUGAGGGUAAAAAUUAUGUAAUGCAGAUUUUUUUUUAUUUUGAGGAAGUGCUUUACUAUAAAAAGUUAGUUUUGUAUUUACCAGAGAUUAUGUUUUGCUGGUGAGCAUAUAAGACAUAGUAAGAUAUAAAAAUAUUGUGAUUCUUUGGGUACAUUUACUCAACAAAAUGAUGAAUGAGACUAUUGGUUAUUUUUUUCAACUAUAGAGGGGAUUUAUUAUUGUGACCAUAGUGCAUUUCUGUUCAAGGCAAGCAUGUUCUGUGAUUUCUUUGGGGCCAUAUGUUUUCCCCAUUGUUCUUCUGCCUUCAGCUAGAGAGGAUGUUAAAGAGAGGACAAGUUGUAUAUCUGAAUAGGAGGUGUUUAUUGUUUCUUCCUUAAUAUUCUGCCUUUAAAUUUUCCAAAUUUAAUAUCUUGGGAAAACAAAAGAUGAAAACUUAGGUAGUGGUUGUUGUGAUUAUCCUGUUAUUCCAGUUAUGUCAUUUACAUUUGGAUUUCAACCCAUUAGCUCUCUUUUACGCUGCUUUGGAGCCAACAUUUUCAUAAAAAUAAUCCCUAGGCUCUAUAAAAAAAAGAUUGAACUGACUCAAAAUCAUUCUUUCCGGACUUUCUGACUGUCCUCCAGCUAUUACUUGAAUAUCACUUUAGCUCUUUAAAGGUCAUUGUGUUUCAUCUUCUUUUGGUCAGUCACUAUCCCUGCAAAACAGCAACAGACAACUUUAUGUAAUGGUUUCAAAAAUCUGAAUCUAUCACUUAAAGAUUCUGUAACAAUUAUCUUCUUUCAAAGUUUUAUCUUCUAGUUUCUGUGCAUUGCCUCACUGCAUCCUCUUUACCCAAAGGUAGUGCUAGCUUCUAGGUAGAAAGAUUGAAUUAGAAGGUUGUGCUUCUGAUGUGGUAAUUAUUGAAAUAAAAGAAAACUCACCUUGGAAGCCCCACCACCCUCUGCCAUUUUUUAGUUGUUCUGAGAAAGUUACAGCUAUGAAGAAUUUAACAAGAUUAUGAAGUGACCCUCAUGUUCCAACCACUAUUUAUUCUUCCACUGCUAAGUUCUUGGACCACUUUUGACAUUCAGCACAAAACUGUCUGAAAAUGACCUAGAUGGCCUCAGUGGACUUGAGGUGUUGGCAAGAGAAAAGUUUUUAAAAUGUUACUAGCUCUUAAUGUGUAUUCUCUUCAUCUACACAUUGAGGACUCUUUACUCUAGGAAGUCAGACAAGUCUUUGGAAACCGAUGUUACUAGAUUCAAGAGCCUUAAUUGUAUGGGGAGACUCAGUUGUAUAGGAAGAAUAUAAAAUUGGUAACAUGCCCUUUCUCCACAAACAUUAAAAAAUAUUCUCUGGCUGUUGAAUAUUAUCUGGAACCUGAGAACUACAAUGGUCAUGAGGGUCUGUCUGUACUUUUGUCUUUUCUCUACUAAAAGUUUAUAACAAAUUCCCUUUCUGUUGUUGAUCAUGGUUAUUUUUAAAAUGCUAAUAAAAUAAUAUAAUGUAUUAAUCCAUAAUGAAAUUGAGCCUUACACUGUGACUUCUGUUUAACUUGAAAAUAUAACAUGUUAAAAGUAAAUAUAGCAGAGAUACAAUCAUAACCCCACAAUAUCUACCUAUUACCAGAAAUGCAUCCAAGCUUCAGUAAAUAUAAUUUAUCUACCCAGAUUAAUUGCAGUACAUUAUUAAAAAGCCAAUGAAGGUAUAUUUUCUUCUUGCUGAAACACUGUCAAAAAUUUCACUAUAGAUUACCCUAAAAUGUCAUCCUUACUAUUUUAGGGUGGAAAAACAAAGAUGAAGUAACCAGUAUCCUUAUUAUUGAAUAAACCAAGGUUAGGAGUGUUAAGAGAUUUAUCUAAGAUUGUCUACUGUUAAGUGGGACAGAAUCAAAGCAAAAACAAACAAACAACAACAACAACAACAACAAAAAAAAAAAACCCACAGAACUCCAGACACAUUGGCAAUUUCUCUUUACUGUUUUCUAGGAGAUUAAAUUUUUGAAAGAUUUACUUAGUGAACAUAUGAGUUCACUAAUGAAAUAUACAAUCUGAUUUUAUAAUUAGAAAUCCCACACAUAACUCCUUAGAAUGGACAUGAGCUAAGGGGAGACAACAAAAAUGAUUUUACCCAUUGAAAAAGAUUAUAAAAGAGACAAAUACAGAAAAUAAUUAAACUAAAGACCUAAUGUGGACAUUCAGAAGGCUAAUGUACUCUAAAAGAAAUAAUUUUGGUGGAAAUCAUUAUAAGCUAUCUCUUUAAAGCAGAUAAAGUAAUUUUCAGUUGGGCAAAUGAAAUUACCAAUGCAUAAAUUUCCUCAGGUGGUUUUUAAAACAAUGCCAAAACAGGCUUGAAAAUGAGGAAUCUAUUUUUAAAUGCUGCAUAUUAAAUUAUAGUAAUAUACCCAACAGGUAUUGUUUCCUUGGCUCUCAGUAUGACAUUGCCCUUAGUUUCAUAUCUGAAUCAAUUGUCUUAGCUCUCUCCCAGGCUCUGAAAGGAAAAUUUUCAACAACUUAGCAAAAUUUCCCAAUUAAAUUUUGAGAUACAAAGCAUUCACCUGGGUUUUCUGCUCAACUUUCUAAGCCUCAGGAAGCAACUGUUCUGGAAAGCAGUAUGGAAAUUCCUCAGAAACCUUAGAAUGGAACCACCAUUUGACCCAGCUAUCCCACUCCUUGGUUUAUACCCAAAGGACUUAAAAUCAGCAUAGUAAAGUGACACAGCCACAUCAAUGUUUAAUAGCAGCCCAAUUCACAAUAACUAAGCUAUGGAACAAACCUAGGUGCCCUUCAACUGAUGAAUGGGUAAAGAAAAUGUGAUAUGUGUGUGUGUGUGUGUGUGUGUGUUGCAUGUGCAUGCAAUGGAAUAUUACUCAUCCAUAAAGAAGAAUGACUUUAUGACAUUUUCAAGUAAAUGGAUGGAUCUGGAACCUAUCAUGCUAUGUGAAAUAAGCCAAUUUAAAAAACUAAUGGCUGGCCAAAUGUUCUGUCUGGUAUGUGGAUGCUAACUCACAAUGGCUGGGGAGCAGAUAGGGAAAAAGAGAAGUACUUUGGAUUAGACAAAGGAGAAUGAAAGGAAGGAAGGGGGGAUGGGAAUAGGAAAGAUAGACGAUGAAUCAGACAUUAUUUUCCUAUAUGCAUAUAUGAAUAAAUGACUAAUGUAAUUCCUCAUCAUGGACAACCAGGAGAAUGGGAAGUUCUAUUCCACAUACAUAUAAUGUCAAAAUUCAUUCUACUGUCAUGUAUAGCUAAUAAGAACAAAUUAAAAAUAUUAUAGAAAGAAGAGCUUUUUAGAAUGCAUGUACAAUGCUAAAUAGUUUUUUUGUUGAUGAAAUUAGUUUACAGUGGUUUGUCUUCAUAUCAGACAGAGUGAUUUUCUCAUUCACCUACAAAAUAGCUUCAUUGUAGUGUGGGUAGAUGUAAAUUAGCUUUCAAAAAUUGGAAGUCUGUCUUUGUUCUACAUUAUAGCUAUUUAUCCUGAGCCUUUUAUUUGGAUAUCCUUCCAACUGUCUCUAUUUUUAAUCAUUUUUUUAAAACUUAAAAAUACUUUAUUGUAGCAUAAUUUACAUACAAUAAAGUUCACUUAUUUCAAGUGAGUAGUCUCACCCACUGCCCGCACAGGAAAGAUAUGCUGUGUUCUCCUACAUGUAGUGAGCUGGCUGCAAAAUACAAAUCACAAGACACAGAAAUAAUUUCGAGAUCGAAGGCAGGUUGGCUCUGCAAACUUAAGGGUCCUGCUUCCACACUAGAAGGAGAGAAAGAGUGAGCCCACAUUUUUAUUUUUAUAUGGGAGAUACACAAAGGCUUUUCCAUAGAAUAUUCUUCACCAAAUAAGGCAGGGGUGGGCUGUCCAAGCCCAAUGGAUAAUGCCCAACUCUGGAGCUACAGAGUAGCCUCUAUGCCCCAGCAAAGACUGAGGUCACAUGCUUUGUGUAAUAAACCACAAAAUGACUUGCAAUGCCAGACCAAAAUCUCCUUGACUUCAAGGCUGAGUAGAGGCUAUGCAAAUAGCUCAGAGGUGGUCCCCCAUAGAGGAGUUCAAUAAACAUGACCAAUAUGUAAACCUGUGUGACAAUAAAGAGUGUUUCCAUCAUUUGCAAGAGUCCUUUCAUUCUUUUUUGUAGCUAAUUCUUCUUUCAACUGCCAACUCCAUGAAGAUACUGAUGCACUUCGUAUCAUAAUAGUUUACUUUACAUCACUCUCAAACAUCAUAUAAACAGAAGUCUAGGUAUUCUUUUGCAUCUGGCUUAUUUUGCUUACGUUAUGCUUUAUUAAUAGUUUAUUUCUUCUCAUUGUGGGUAAGUAUGCACUGAGUAGUAUUUUAUUGAAUAGUGUUUUCUAUUUUAUCUAUUUGCCAGUUUGAUAGACAUGUGGAUUGUUUCUAGUUUUGGAUUAUAAUAAAUAAGUAAACGCUAGUGUACAAGUCCUUGUAUGAAUUUUCAUUUUCCAUUGUAAAUACUGGACCAUAUGAUAAAAUACAUGCUUAACUGCAUGAGAAACUACUACCUGCUUUACAAAGUAAUCUUUUUCACAUUCCUCCCAAUAAUGUACAAGAAUUUUUUUCAUUCCAUAUCCUGGUUGACACUUGAAUUGUCUUUUUGAUUUUGGUCAUUCUAAAGGUAAUGUAAUAUUAUCUCCUGAGUCUUAAUUUACAUGUUCCUCAUGAUUUAUGACAUGUGGUACCUCUUUGUAUUCUUAAUGGCCAUUUGAAAAUAUUAUUUUCUAAAACAUCAGUUCAAAACUUUUGUCCAUUUACUUAUUGAGUUGUUUGUCAUACUGAGUUGGAAAGAGUACUUUAUAUAUUUUGGAUACAAGUUCUGUAUCAGCUACAUUUACUGGUGCAUUUCCUGCCAAGCUAUGGCUCACUUUUUCAUUUUCUUAACAAGGUCUAUUGCUGGGGAGAAGCGUACUAUAUACUUGCCUUUCUACUUAUCAGAUGGUUCAUCACUUACUAUCUGGUUCCCAGUAUUCUUAUAUACAAAACUGAGACCCUAAUUCUGUUCAGAUUUAUUUAUUUUUUAUUUUUAUCAUCUAAAAUCUUGAAGUAUCAAAGAAAACUUUAAUUUUCUGUGUCAAGAAAGUCUAUUAAUAUACUUUCAAAAUAUUUUCAAUCAUGCUUUUUUUAUCAGAAAACCUUAUUUCUAAUGGUGCCUGAUUAGUCAAUAUCUUAGUAGAAUACUUUUUUAUACCAAAACUUUUUACUUAGAAACACAUUCAGAUGUAAUUUCCAUUGCUUUUAUAAAACCAAAUUAGAUUGUUCUUUAUUGCAUGUAACAUCUUCCUUACAGGUAGCCUGAAAAACUCCACUAAAUAACUUUGUUCUAGUUGUUCAAAGUUAUAGAAAUUUUUAAAUAAAUGGAAUUUAUUGGUCAUUAACAAAUUUUAGAAGCUUGUACUGAUGAAAAUUGAUAAACUUAGUAUCUUAACCAAAAGGUAAAUUUACGUAAACUGGUUUAUGUCAGAAUUGCUGCUGGUGACCUUAGCUUGUUUUUGAGUUAGGACCAUCAUUCAUCCUCCUUCUAAGGAUUCCUGAUUACUGUUCUGUGAAAGAAAAUGGUAGUCACAGCUCUUAUUGAUUUGUAUGUACUUGGCUGUGAAAUACUUGUUAUUUUCUUUUUGGGAGUCUUAAAUAGAAUCAUAAAAAGUAAAAACCAAGAAAGACUAUAAACAUCAUCUUAUCCACCCUCUGUCUUCCCUUCUCAUCAUUCUAUAGAUGAGGACACUGGAGCCCUUCUAGAUUAAAUAAACUUUCCAUAUUUUUAAUGUUGAUUUGAAAUAUUAGAAAAUCAGAUGGUGAUGCAUGAAUUCUUAAAGUUAUAUGAAUCAUCUGAAAUUUUCUGUUUCUUUGUUCAUUUUAGUUAAUUUAAUAUGAAACACUAAAAUUUAUAUACAGCAGAAAAAAAUCAGUGAAAAAUUAUUAUUUUGGAUGAUACUUUCUUUUGCUCUUCUCUUUUGUUGCUGAUAAUCAAUAAUUAAUAUUUUGGACUUACAGAAACUAGACUUUGGGGCAAUUAUUGUAUUCUCUCUAAGCUAUGUGUCUUUGAAACCUAGGCACCCUCUUUAACAUUUGGUGAAGAAACUCUUAGAAAGACUAUGACACUGCAUAACUUGACCACAUGUGCCCUCACUUACUUUUUUUCCCUGUUUGCUUGCCAUUUCUUUUUUUCUUCCUUUUACAUCUGUUUCUUAUCCCUGCUAUAGCCCCUGGUGGAUAUUGCUUAAUCCUCCAAAUAUUAUCUAGUUCACAAGAUGUCUAAGGACCUCAUAUUAAAUGAAUAUCAGCCUACACUCUAACAUUGCAAUUAAAAAUAAAACAACUUUUAUCUUAGGUAUUAAUAAUAGCUAAUACUUACAUAGUACAUACUAUGUGCCAAUUACUCUUCCAAACACUUUGAAUAAAUUAAUUCAUUUAAUUUUUAAGUAACUAUUUGGGAUACGUAUAUUAUAUUCUCUACAAUUUUCAAUAUUUUGAUUUUAUUUUAAAAGGAAUAAAUAUGUCUUUUAACAAAAAGAAAUAGAGAUUGUCUGUCUUCUUUGAAUUUUCAGAGAACAAAAAAUAUUUAAUUCAUAGCUCCAAAGAGUUUAACCAAAAUGCAUAUGAAUUAUUGAUACAGGAAAAAGGCUUCUUUAUGCCUUUCAAAGAAUUCAAGUUUUGAAACAUCAUCAAAAAGACAGUGAAUUUGGGCUGGGAUUGUGGCUCAGUGGUAGAGUGCUUGCCUAGCAUGGGGCACUGGGUUUGAUCCUUAGCACCACAUAAAAAUAAAAUAAAAAUAUUGUGUCCACCUAAAACUAAAAAAUGAAUAUUAAAAAAAACAGUGAAUUAUAUCCUCCACUAUUUCCAUAAAGAACAAUAGCUCGUCAUCUGUUGGAAGUAUUAUGUUUAAAAAUUAACCUCUCAGUACUGGCUAUUACCAAGAUCUUCACCAUGGAGCUUCUGUUAAAAAGUUAUUCUUAAACAAACCAGUCAUUUGAUAAAAAUCACUGGGGAACUUGAGGUCGGAGAAAGCAUGCAGUAGUUUUUCUAUAUUGGUUCAAGUAUUAGUCUCAGGACUUUCAGUCAUAUUGAAAACCAAACAAACAAAACUUUUUUAUGAAAUAUAUCACAUAAGUCCUGUAUGUACAUCAUGGGUAAUACAUAUAAAGAUGGUGGGAAAGCAGGAGAGCAGGGGAGAAGUAAGAAAGGAGAAAAGAAAGAAGGAAAAAAAAAGUAGAGAGGAAAGAAAGAAAAAAAAUGAUGUGAAAUUCCAUCAGUUGUUGAAAAUUAUCAUUGACUUAAAAGAGUACAUCUUUUAAUUAUUGUAUGUAUUUUUAAACAAAAAUAGAAUGUCAUUUUCUAACCUACUUUUAUUUUUUAAAUACACAACAUAUGUCCUUAUAGUACAGAUAAAUAUCUGUACUAUAUAUGGACCUAAUUGAACAACUCAAACAUUAUUGUACAUUGGAUAGUUUUUAGUCUUUUAUCGUAUCCUUUGUAUAUUCUUAAUUAAUUUCUUAGGAUAAAGUGCUACAGAAAGGAAAAAUAAGUAGUCACCAGGUAAAUAAAAUGUUAAGGCUUUUGAUAUUAUUUGCCAAGUUGUAAUCUAAGAAGGUCAUGCCAUUUAUAUUCUACCAGCAGUAUCCAAAACUACCAGUAGAUAUUGUUAUUUACUAUUAUUUUAAUUUUCAUUUAUUAUCAGGAAGAAGUUUCAAAUGUUUUAUGAGAUGAUUAUCAAUUAUAUGAUUUUUUGGGUAAAAUUUCCUCUCUUUCCCUUUAUGUUUAAACUAGAUUAUUAUGAAACAGUAUUCCCAGUUGAAUGAGGUACAACCGAUUGCCUGAUUCUGCUAACCAUAACAUGCCUUCUGAUUUUAAAGCCUCAGUGUGCAUGGAGUCUGAGCCAGAGGUCAUUCGAUGCUUGAGGUUGGCACUGACUGACGCUGUCAAGGACAUUGUCCAAAAGGUGAUAUCUAUGAUGAACUGUGAGAAAAACUGUGAAACAAACCUAAGCAAGCACAGUGUUCCUGAUGGUUUGCUUGAGAGCAUUCCAAAAGAAUGGAGUUAUACUCCAAAGGAAACCAAAAAAAAAGAUUCAAGCAAAGGUAAGUAUACUUGUUUUCCUAGAAAAUAUCCCCUAAAAAAGCAAUAUUCCAGGAUAUUUAGUUAAGUAAAAGUCUAAAACUAUAAGACUGAUAAACCAUAUUAAUCUUUCUUCCUCCAAGUAUAUCUGGGAAAACUGGAACAAGGACACUAGAGAUGCAAAUGACUCAACUGGUCAUCUUUUUUUAACAGUUCAAAAUUUUCUGUGAUAUUUUGUUUUUGUAUUAGUAUUCACAGAUUAGUCACAUGUUGUGGACUAAAUUUCUCUAAAUCUAUUGAGUAAUCUAGAAUUUGUACUUUCAGGAAAACUACUCUGAUAUUCAGUUUAAUUAUUCUUCCUUUUAAAUUUUUCCCCUGAAACCACCAAUUAUUACUUUUUCUUCUUGUUAACACUCCUACAUGCAUAGCUUUUAGGUAAAAAAUAGCAUUGAGUUUGGUAACUACAUAUAUUUUCUGACAGGGCAUUUUCCUCCAGUCCCUGUAGUUCUGAAUUGAGACUUUGUUUCUGUUCAGAACAAUGCAUCCACCAACUACAUUUAAGAACCAUCAGUUUACAUUAUUUAUUUAUUUUAUUAACUAAGUUCUCUCUUAAAUGUUUUCUUCCUGUCUACAUGUAGGAAAAUUUCCAGAAUUUUCACAAAAUUCCCUUGAAAGUAUAUUAAAUAUUAGUAUUUGUGAAUCUUCUUUUGGUUUUCUACAAUACUUUUUCCUUUCAUAUUCAUCUCUAAGAGAAUAUUUUUUUACCAUCUCUAAGGAAACUUUCAUCAAUACUUCAGGAGAACCCACAAAAGUCAAUUGAAGGGACUGGUCUUUCUUUGAUUCUCCUCCAUGAGAUCCUAAGUAAUGUAGCUCUUAUUCAGCGACCUUAUAUUACAAACUCAAUCAAUUAUCUAUCUGUGACCUUUCAUAGUAAUGCUUUAAUUCUGCCCAAGCCCUAUUAAACUGCCUUUGAAUCUAGUAAAGCCAUUUAAUUGAAAUUGGAAAAUGUCACCUUUUCAUUACUUAAGUUCUUCCUUGCCUAAGAGUUGUUGCCAUCUCUCCUUCAUUCUAGCUUUGGAUAUUUCAUACAUUUUGAAUAAAGCAGGGGCAUGAUCUAUAGUUAAUGUGCCAUGCCAUAUGAGUGGCACUGUUUUUGCUUGUGGCUUUCUGUUUGUGAAAUAUUUUGGUUUCUAAGAAGCAUUUUAGAAUAUCUGUGUACUGUUUUAAAGAGUUUCUUGUUCCCAAAAUGCUUAUUUUACAUAGAUACCAGUUAUUAGGGUCUGCCUUACUCAAUAACAUUUUUCAUAAAAUUAUCACUAGAAGUACAAUAUAUAGCCAGUCACAAAGAGGUGCUGGAUCUCAUGAAUACAUAAAAGAAAGUGACUUUAUGAACCAUAUUUUGCAUUCUAAGUGGAUAUGACACUAGGGGAACACCAUUGAUCUUCAUUUCUGUCCUCUGAGUACAGAAACUCUUAGAUUAGCCCUGCUCAACCUUUAUAUUCACUCCUUAUCCACACUUUUUUGCUUUAUUCCUUUAUUUUCAUUGCUAAUCCACACUUCUGUGGUUGAGAGUAAGCCCAAAAUAUUAUCAUUUAUUUUAAAUUUCACAGGAGAGAAUUCACACUCACAUAAUUUUUAUUAUAGUAUCAUUAUAAUUGUUCUAUUUUAUUAUUAGCUAUUAUUAAUUUCUUACUGUGCCUAAUUUAUAAAUUAAAUUUAUUAUAGUAUAUAUAUAUAUAUAUGUAUGGCAAAAAAAUAGCGUAUGUGUUUUAGCCAUCCGCUGGAGGUCUUGGAAUGUAUCUCCCUUGGAUAAGAGUUAGGGGACAACUGUAAAAGACAGAGAUUAUUUAUAUGCUGGACAUUAAGUCAUCUAUUCAUUCAAUAGGUGACUCAUAAAUAUAUAUGAGGCUCUGUAUUUAUAGUCAGAGAUAAGCUAUAUAUGUAAUAUCUUCUCUUGGUCCUUGGAGACUAGUAUAACUAUUUCAGAACAGAUGCAAACACCUCCGGGGUGUUUUUUUGUGUAUGGGAAGAAAAGAUUAAAAGUUUGCUAAAGUCUCACUUGGAGAUUGUCACUGGAACCCCUCUUCAGUCUGGGCGAACAACUUAUAUGUUAGGGACAAUAGGUGAGGAGGCUCAAGUGGGCAGGAGCACAAUAUUAAGGAGAAGUAAUAGGCAGGGAAACCUUAUUUCUUCUUUAGCCUUCUGUGUACACACCUUGGCUUUGUAGAAUCUGGUAUUAACAAAAUUAAUCCUUGCAAUACUCAAGAGAUCUUAACAUAUUCCUGAAAAUCGACAAAUCAAUUAUAGCUUAAUACUGGGAAGGCAGUGAAGAGCACAAAGUGACACAGAUAAAAGUCUCACAUGUAUUUUGAUUUCGAAUAUGAGCUCUCAGUCAUAUCAUAAAGUAAAACAAUAAGGAUCUAAUCAAAUUUGGCAAAAAAGAUAAAAAAAUUUAAAUAGAAAGAAAGAAACCUGUAGGAAAAUGAUUUGAAAUAUGGCUUCCCAUCCAUUAUUGUGAAAUGUGAAUCCUUUUUAAGUGAGUGUUGUGCCUUGAGCUAUUAGCUAAAGAUAGUUUGAAGUUGUCUUGAUUAGCAAAAUGAUUUCAAAACCAAGCAUCUGAAACCUGAAGAUAAACCUCUGUAAUUUCUUCAACAGUGUUUUAAGUCAAGUUAUAAUCAUGUUCUUCACAAAAUUUGUGUAAACAAUGAUAAAUGUCUUAAGACAUUUCUUGUGAGAAUUCAAACCUAUUGAAAGACAAGUAGCCACUACCUUAAGGGAACAUUUGUCCUUGACAUAGUGAAAAUGACAGAGCAUGGUAAACAGUAUGAUGACAAACUAAAAGACAUUCCUUUAUUUCUUUGUCAGCAAAUAUCAUUACAUAGCAACACUGAAGAUUUAAAGAAACAAAUGUAAAUCAUACAGGGGAGCUUUACCAUACAGUUGGAUGAAGAUUCAGAUUGUUCUGACGUAGCUCAGCUUUUAAGUCUUUGGUUCCUUGUAUUUCAAAAGAAUGAAUACACGAAGAACUGGUUUUGUUUUUGUUUUGCUUCUUUGACAAAAAUUAAAAGAAAGAUGUACCUAUAAAGAAAUUUUCUCAACAGUAAAUUAAUUUUUUAAAAUUAAAAAAAAUGCAUUAUGGUAAAAUCAUUGGAGCAAUUGCUUCAAUGGAAAUAGUGGAUUCUGGAGAGUGGAAGCAGAGGAAGUACCAUAAGGGACAUGCAUCCAUGUCACUGACCUCAUGCAGUGUUUAGAAGGAUAUUGGUGAAAGAAAUAUGUAGAAUGCUAUAGGAAGUCAGCAAUUUAGUUUAUUUUGUAAAAACUAGAGAUUAUACUAGUUUUGUGAAAACCAACAUCACUUAUAAAAAUAUCAUAUCUAUAUACUUAAGAACUUAGACAUAGAAUUUUCUAAUGUGUUUAAAAAUACUUCGAAUGAAGAGUUUCUAUAAUCCUUGAACCAUUUUCUUAAAAAUAUACAAAUGAGCCAGGCACAGUGGUGCACAACUAUAAUGCUAGUGUCUAGGGAGUCUGAGGCAGGAGGAUCACAAGUUCAAGGUCCGCCUCAAUGACAGGUAGAGCUGUCUCAAAAAGAAAAAGAAACAAAACAAAACUGGGGUUCAGCUCAGUGGUAAAUAACCCCUGAGUUCAUUCCCCAGUACCAAACACACACACACACACACACACAAAUGAAAUAUAUUUUCAAUUUGUAAGAAUAAAUAAUUAAUAUUAUAGUCAAUGGAUACUAAUUAUUCAGAUUUCAACAACAGCUUUGCCUGAUUGCUUUUUAAGGCUGAAAAACAAACUUCAUGCUUUUGUAAGCACAGCUAAUAAUAUACCUGCUCCAUGCUCCAUGUGGAGAUACAUAUGUAUAUGUUAGUGGUAGUAGUUUUUUCAACUAUGACAGUCACUAAAACAAUGUACAGAAACAAACUGAACUGAGAACCUGACCUUUGUACUAAUCCCAGAUUUUAAACAUAAAAGCAUAUUAAAUCACAUUAUCAUCAUCUAAAAAUUGUUAUUUUGUACAAUUAAUAGAUGAUAUUUUAAUAAUUAAUUUAAAGACCUUAUUUUGUCUUUACUUCAUUUGUUGUGAAUAUCUUCCUCACAUGUUUUAUAAUCCCCAAAUAUAUUACAGUAGUUCAUGUGUAAGAAGGAAGAAAUGAUAAAUUCAUAAAUGUACCAACCAUAUUGGGUUCAUUACAAGAUACACAUUUUUUCAUACUUUGAGAAUUAUAAAAUUGGCAUAGUUUCUAAUAUUUUACAUAUAAAUGAAUUAGGAAGAAGUCAACUUAUUUAAAUAAAGACAUAAAAAUGAGUGUGAGAUAGUGUUAAAAGAUUCCUCUCUGGUAUAUUGUUAACCUCAUCAUAGAUUCAGAGCCCUUGUGAUUAGCAGAAUAGAUUUAUUCAUUUAUCAUCAGCUUGAAGGUUCUGAUCAGAAUUUGCCUUAAGCUUUAAUGAUGUGUUUGGGUAUUUGAGUACCUGGAGCCCACAGAGUUUAUAAAAUAGCAGAAGUCUAGGUGUAAAGAGAGUUGGUAAUCUUUACCUGGUAUCUACUUAGAUAUUUAAAUGUUUGCUCAGUGCCUGUGCUUACACCCUCUUUAGAAUAGAGGAAUAUAAGAUGCAAUGUUUGAAGUCAAAUAACUGACAGUAGAAUAGGGAGUAUGGAAUACAAACACAUAAAGAACAAUAAUAAGACAUUUAAAAUAAUUUAACAACACAAAGAAGAGAGGUCACAAGGAAGUUUUUGAUUUUGCUUUUACCUAUAUUUUAAGAUCCAUUGAAACAUUCAUUUGCAUAAAAAGAAUACACUUAUUGAGGAACUCUUUUCUACAGGCACUGAAGGAGGUGCUUUCACACUCUUGGGAAGUGCACUGGCAGCUCUGUGGAAGCCUUGGGGAGAUUUCUCCUGUGCUCUUCAGCAACUUUUAAUACAGAUGUAAGACAACUCACAAAGACCUAAAUAACAACAUGACAUAAAUAAUAGAGAUAAUAAUACAAAAGAUGAUGCAGCAUGGUGCAUUAUUGGAGCUGACUACCAAUAUCCAUAUGACUGUCCAUAUGACAUAUGGACAUAUGGAUAUUAUAUUCAAAUAAAUUUAUUAAAGGGUAUAGGACUUCAAAGAAUUUAAGUAUACAGGUAGGUGAACCAUGAAGAAAGGGGGUAUUUAUUCCAUUGAGAAUGAUAGAUAUUCACAACCCUGAAGCAGAGGUAAAGUGUAUAGAAGGUCUCAAAGAGAAAGUUGGUAGAAACAGUAUGACACUGGGCUAUGAAACAUUUUGAAAAUCAAGCUUUGAAGUCUUAUCUUGCUCACCAGUGGAAAAUAGCUAAAACAAUUGUAGCAGAGAAAUUGGAUCAUAAAAAUUGAAUUGUAUAUGAAUCCAGUGUACUGCCAGAUUCAUGGGACCCCAAUAGACAUCCAGGAGCUGAAUCCAGUGCAAGCACACAAGAGUCUUUAUUACAAGCUCGAGCCUGGACUCACAACCGUUUCUGAUGCAGUGGUCCCAGGGAGUGAGUCCCUGUCCUCUGUUCAGUGAGGAUUUAUAGGUUUUGGGGGGAUACUCAAUGCGUCACAACAUCACACAGCAAAUCAUUUCACACUGCAGGAAAAUCAAACAACAACUCUUAACAUUGAUUAGCAUAUUCACUGGUGGGAACAAGUUGGGUAGGGGUGAUUGGUUAGUACAAGAGGGGGUUUCCUUUGAAUUGAUUGGUUUAAGCCACGAGGGGUGUAUGUGCUAAACUACAUGGUUUCCCAACAUGUUAUCAACCACCAUAGACUACUGGGGGGUCAUGGGGCAUCCCAGGUAUUUUCCCUGUCUCAUGCUGAUUGGUCGUUGCUAGGGGGUUGCUAUGGGUCCUCACCUAGCCUAACUGAGUUAGGGACACCUGGUGCCACAGAUCUCUCCCAUUAUUUACAGACAACUCAGCAGGGUGGCUAUCUGCCAAGGAGUGCUCUGUUGGUUUUUCCAAGGACAAGGGUCAUGUCCCCUUUCUUGGACAGGCUUUGCUCUGAGGUAGAGGCUGGUUUCUCAAAAAUGGAGUCACAUCAGUUUCUCACCACUACUGUGGAUGAAUUUGGAUUUACAGUGCAGAGGAGGGGCCGGACAUAGCCUGGAAUAUGGAGAUAAGUCAGGAGAGUAUGUUCAUUAUCCAGGUGCCAUUUGUGAGGAAGAGCUUGAAGUAGGGCGAGGUUGGUCUCAGCAAAGAUAAAGAGGAUUUCAGAGACAACAGGGUAGGAAGAUUUACCAAUGGUGGUCACUGGUUUUGUAUGAAGUAUCAACAGGAAGGAAAGAAGAAAGGGAGGGAGGAAGGGAGGGAGAGAAGAGGAGGGCCAAGUAAUUUGGAAGGAAGACAAUAAUGAUUAUAUUGAAUUAUUGGUGACUCAGAAAGAGAAAUGCAAUGCCCAAAAAGGAGCUGGAGCUAUAGGAUUGCAAUCAAGAAUGGUUCUCAACUCAGGGUGAUUUUGCUCCCAGAGGACAUCUGGCAGUGCCUGGAGCAGUUUUGGUUGUCACAAUUGAGGGGAAUGUUACUGGCCUUUAGGGGUAGAAGCCAGGCAGAAAUGCUGCUAAACAUGCCUCAUAGGGCACCUCAUCCCAACAAAAACUUAUCCAGCCCUGAAUGGCAAUUGUGCAGACAGAGAAAUGUCAAUCUAAAGAAAUAUCAAUAUAUCCUUCAGAGAAGUAGCACCAAGCAAAGGAGAACACAUAGAAUCACCAGCCAGAGGUUAAGGACUGCUCAGAAAAUACCCACAUUUAAGAGGUGUUGGUAGAAAGUGUAACUGGCAUGGGACACAAAGAAGCAAAGAAAAAUAGUAGAGGUAAAUAAAAACGAGUUUAUUGGUUCAAUAUUCAACCAAUAUUGAAUAACUUAAAAAUGAGGUACUAUGUGCUAGGCAUACAGUAAUGACCUUCUGGAGCUUAUAUUCUAGUGAAGAGUGACAGAUAAUGAAUAGGUAAAGGAUAUAAUUAUAACAGGUAAUUAUAAAAAAAGACAACACAACAGGGUCCCAUGAUAGCAAGGAAGAGUAAGAAGGGACUGCUUUGAAUGGGAUUUGAAGCAAGUUCAACUGAGAGGGUGACAUUUAGGCUAAGAAUGAAGAGAAGAGGAGCCAGUCCUGAAAAGAGCAGGGAUGAUUCAAAGUUCCCCAGGGAGGAGGAGAAAUUCUUACAGGAGACUCAGAAGUAUCAAAGGCUACUGAGGUCCAGCAGGAAUGCAUUUGCAUUUGUUAAUUAAGGGAGGACAUCUAGGGUCCUCAAAGCUGCAGCAGUCUUAAAAGAUAAAAUAGAAGUUAUAAUUCUGAAAUUUCUAAUCUUCAUUUAUGGAAGGAAACAGAAAAGGCAAGUUUGGGAUUUGGGGGACUUUAGGUAAUGCUGCAGGAGAUCCCAGUAGAGUUCUGUCGGAAUAUGUCAAGCACUUGCUCUUCUCAACAAUUUUCUCCAUGAAAAUUAGACAUCCCCACACAACACAAAACCAUGCAGUGAUGGAACGCAAAUGCUAAUAUUAAUCAUACCUUUUCUAUCUUUUCUUCCCCAGGCUUCACAAGGCUUGCUGCUCAGGCAGUAUCUAUUGUAAUCAGCAAGUUACCUACGGUGAUUGCAUGUUUGCCUCCCCCAAUUAAAUACUUCUUUUUUCUGUCUGAGAGGAAAAUGUCAAAAAACUUUGUUGAAUUGAAGAUAGCUGGCCUGCUUGUCUGGAACUUGAUUGUACUUAUACGUCGCAUAUUUAAAGAUGGAAACGCAGUAGAACUUUUAACAGGUGCCUCCCUUGACAGAUGGAGUAAAGAGAAACUGGGUUUAAUUUGUGUGUGUUUGGGUAGCAUCAUAGGAGAGCAAAGUAGCCCUAAUCAAAUGACCCAAAAAGUCAUACAAAGCAUUGAGCAACAAAAGCCCAAAUGGAUUGAACACCAGUUGUUGAAAGCAAGGAAACUGAGCACUGAAUGGUAAGGCAAUGUUUUUCUCUCACUGAAUUCAUCACAUACUUUCACAAUAACAAAAUUACCAGAACACAACCACAACAAAAUCUUAUCAGAUGGGCAGCAUUGGUCAUUUGGCUAAAUUCAUGGGAACUUUGAUGAGGAUAGGAAAAGAUAAGUAUCCCACUAAACACUACUGUUAAGGGUUCCUUGUCUUCUUAAAAUUUGAAUCCCAUUGAUACACAAGAACACUAUACUUGUUGAGUCACCAUCUAAAGGUUUCCGAUUAAAAGGGUGGAAGUUACACCCAGAAGAAUUUAAUUUCAUUCCUUUUCAGUGUAUAAACAGGUAUCUAGUGGAUAUGAAGUGUUUUGUAAGUGGAGUGGGCACAGAGAUUAAAUUAAGAAGGAAUUAAUGGAUAUGAAAGCCUUUUUAUUGCUUUCUGUGUACCUGAUUGUCAAAAAGGUACACAUUUUUCAUCUGGUAAUAUAAGAAUCCCAGAGGGCAAGUAGGGCAUAUCACACUCAAGCUAUAAACACACCCAGCUGUUCCAGUAUGAAAAUGUCAGCCUUCUCAUAGGUUUGUCACCAAGAGCUAAGUGAUUUGUGGUAUUGCAAAGAGUUUUAAGGGUCCCUGAUGAAUUUAAAUAUGUACAUAGAGCUUUCCUGUUUUAAAAUUAGUCUUUUGGUAUAGAGUUGCAUGAUACUGAUAAAGGAAUUCCGGUUCAGAUGGUCUACAGAUCACUAAGUUAGCCCUUUUUUUAAACAUCCACAUGCACUGUCCCCAUUCUGUUAAAGUAUAUUCAUGUUGCUAGCAGAUAUUAGAAUAACUUUCCGCCUGAAAAGACUAAAAGCCACUUGAAAUAUUACUGUUACUAGUAGAUGGUAGUGGUAAAGAGCUCAGGCUUUAGAAUCAGAGGAACAAAUACAAAUCCCUUGUAAAUAGGUCAGCUUGUGCAAGUUACUGAAUUUCUCAAAGCCUCGGUUUUAACAAUGAAACCAAGAUGACAGAAUUGUUUUGAAAAAUUAAAUAACAUAAAGUUCUUAGCAUCAAGUUUAGAAUUAGUAAGCACUUAUUAUUUAUAAACUAUUAGAAUACAUUUUGCAUUCACUGGUUAGUACUAUAACUAAUGCUCUUAGCUAGUCUAUGUUAAUCUUUAAGACUUUAUAUUAAUCCAUAUGGUGAAAAGUAGGUAAUCGUGAUUUUCCUGGUCUUGUCAUACUGACUUCUAGAAAUUUACUUCUGGAUGUCCCCUGGGCGGAAGUAACAAUAGCAGUCAGGCAAAUGCUUAGUCACAUUGACAGUGACCUUCUUAAUCUUCAUAUUUGUAUUCAAUACCAAUUCACAGGCUUUAAUCCAGUGACUAAAAGAUUAAGGCCAGAUGUCAUUAUACAGUGAUUAUAAAAGAGAGAGAGAAGAGUAAAAAUUGUAGAUCGGAUUUUAUUUUAAAAGUUAAAUUUAUGAUACUACUGAUUUAGAAGCCACUCUAUCAAAUAAGAUCUAUUCAAAGCAUGUGUAAGUAAUAUAACUGGACUACAUGCAAAAGCUGAUUUCAAUUAAAGUUUUAUAAGCAACACCAACACAUCUGGUAUCCCCUGUAGUGUGAGGCUGUCUAGCUAAUAUUUAGCUGACUAGUUAUGAGUCAAAAAAUUGCUUAGCAAUCUCUUAGAACAUUCAUCAAAAACAAAGAAUUGCUGAUUUAAAAUAUUUUAAUCAACAAAGAUUCUGAAUAAUUAGUUAAUAAUUAGUACAAUACUAUGUCUCAGUUUCUGAAUUAUCAAUAUAUAAAAAUGCAGACUUAAAGUUACUUAUUACAUGUAUUUUAAAAAGUUAAAUUUGAUUUAACUCACUUAUAUUAAUCUCAUACAGAGUUUGGGCACUAUAAGGAUCCUUCUUCUUGACUUCAAUUUUAAAUUGGUUAUCCGAAAUACAGAUGGACUUCUACUCUAAGAAUGUCUCAUAAAUUGAUGAUUAUUAAGUUAAUAGAUCUAUACUAUUAAGAAAAAUGCAUUUCAAAUCAUGAUACUAUAUAAAGUAAAGGGUUGCCAUAUUUUUUUUAAAUAUGGGUGUAUAAACAUUUACACCAAAAUAGUUCUUCUGUUGUUAUAAAUCUUAAUUCCUCAUGAAGAUUAUCUUGGAACCUACAUGAUACCAUUAACUAGAUUUCUUGCACUUGCAUCCAGAUUUAACUUUGAAUUUUGUUAUGGUAAAGGUGAGAAUAACUGCAGUCAAAUAGGUGGCAACUGUAAAUGUUGCCUGUCCUGCAUACUGCCUGAAAGUAUUACUAUUCAUUAAAAUAACCUUCACUUUGUAGUAACUCUCAAGCUGUAAACAGUCAACUUACAUUCUGGAGAACACACAGCCCCAAAACUAAAGAAAUGUCUGUCUUUGCAAAGUAAUUUGUCGAGUUGAAGAUUAUUGUUUUUCAUCAUGGUGACCCUGACUUGGCUGGCUGGGUGCAUAUACAGAUUAAGAUUAAUGCAGUUAUUCCUUGGCUAAGGUCUGCCUCUUUCAGGGCACAUUCUCCCUAAUGACAUGAUUGAUAGGCAGUCCCAAAUCCAGAGAGGAACUCAUUAAUCAUAGCAUUGACUGAAUCCAAUCAUUUGCUUCACCUGCACAGUGAUGGACAGGAAAGGAUACAAUUCAGGGGCUGACACUGAGAUACUCCUUUGUCAGAGAACCUCAACUUUUUCAAUGUCAGCCUCUACAAAACCCAACAAGAAAUUUUGCUUGCAACCUGCAUGCAGCUUCAAAAAGAUACAUGCAAAUGUCUCAUAGAGGCCAUUUUUAAAAAAGAGAUUUAUGCUAGUUGAUGAAUAUUGCUAAGUCAGAGUGGGAUUUGCUUUUUGGGGGGUUAAGACUUAUAGGAUCUUGAAAUUCCUUUUUCUUUCUUUCCUCUUUUUUGAGGACAUUUUGAAGCUACAUGUGGAAGCAAUAUCAGAGUUAAUGUCCAGCAGCUGGGUAUCAUUUGGUUCAAUCUUCAGGUCAACGGCACUGACUCUUAGCAGAACUAAUUUUAUAAUCAUGGCAAAAUCUCAGUAAUGAACUGCAGUACACAGCUGAUUACACCACAAUAAAUUUCAUUCAGCCUGAGAAACAGUAGAAACCAUGAGUUUUCCUAAGAACACUUAGACUGAAAAGCCUAACAUGAUCCAAUAGGAAUUGUAAUAAAAUUAGUGUGGAAUAUGUAGCAUGUGUGAUGACUAUCAUAAUUUUUUACAUGAGUAUACUUUGAGGUGUUUAAAAUAUUUUGUUAUCCGUUAUUAUGUAAACAAUUUUCAAAAUGAAGGACAAGCAUAUAUAUGUGUGUAUAUAUAUGUGUGUAUAUAUGUGUGUGUAUAUAUAUGUACACACACACAUAUAUAUGCAUAUAUAUGUAUAUAUAUAUAUAUAUAUACAUAUAUAUAUACAUAUAUAUAUAUAUAUGCAUUCUCCAAAAAAAAAAAAAACAUUUCAGGACUGUUUUCAACAUUCUUAGUGUGAUGAUUGUAAACCCUUUUUCUGGAAGAAUAAUCAAAGUAAUGAUCUUUGCUAUGUAUCUGUUACAGAAAAGGAGCAGAAGAGGGGGCCUAUAUUUUUUAAAGGCAGCAAGGGUCAAAGGCCAAUUUAAAAUACCCAGUGGUAAGCACACUGCCACCAAGCAUUCAGCCCAUAAUUAGAAUAAUAGGCUCCCCCUUUUGACACAUUAAUUAGUCUCUAAUGUAUCCUAAGACAGGUGUAAAAGGAAUCUACAAAAGACAGAAUACCAGAGCUAUUCCCGGUAUCAAAGAUACUUUUUAUCCUCCAAGAGAAAAUACAAAUUAUUUCUUACACAUUCUUAAAAAGAAAUGUUUUGUUUUCAUCCUGUGAUUGUAGCAAUUUCAACAAUUGCAGUAAUGGGAAAAUGUUUUAUAGAUAGGAGUAUAAAUGCAAUAAAGAAAUGUUUUAAAAGAAACGAUUCAAUUUUAAAAAAUGCUUUCAGGUGCUUAAUUCUGAGGCGCUGUUUCUAUGAGCAGCAGCAGUUUGGGAAGGCUUACUAUUUGAGCGAAGUCUUUAUGGGUGCUUUGAGUAUGAGAUUUACAUCGACUCUCCACACUCAAUCUCUCUGAUUAUUUUCCAUCUUUAUGAUUCUUCGCCACUGAUAUGUAUGUGCUUCCUUUGUGUUUAGUGCCUUUAUGACAAUGGAGAAAAGCACAGUCUUAGAAGAAGGAGACACUGCUCUUGAACUGACUGAGCAGAAAAUAAACAUGAUGGUCCUGGAUGUCUGCCACAAACCAGGUGGCAGUG